GGGUCAGUCUUCAGCCCUGAGGUUCUUGACCUCACCGAGGAAGACCUGAUGGACAAGUUUGCUUCUGGUGUGUCCAUGGUUGCCUCACUGUCCCUGGCGAUCUCAUACCCCACCAUGGCUGCUGCGCCACACAUGUUCCUCAAUGCAUACAAGAAUGUUCUUGCGGUUGCUUUGGAGACAGACUACUCAUAUGAUCAUGCUGAUAAGAUCAAGGAGUACCUCAAGGUAAUUCUUGUUCUACAAUGUUUUGAUCCCACUAUGAAAUCUUAAUUUGAAACAUGCAUUAGAAUUUGUUCUUGAACAAUGGCAUGAACUGACAAGUGAUAUUUUUGGAUAGUGUUAUCUCUUCAGUACCCUUAAUUUAAUCCUGCGGUUUGUGAGAUUUGUUUUUGGUAGUCAUCAUGGUAUAAAACAUGACAUGCCAUCUCACAUUUGGCACAUGUUUCAUCAUACUCCUGAGCAACUGCAUCAUUGUUAGCUAAGCUAGUCAUCUGUUCUUUUCUAACCAAUUCUGGAGCUUAACAAUUUAUAUGUUUGGAUUGUGUUAGCCUCUUCCUGUCCCCUUUGUGUAAUCUUGCUGUUUGUGAGAAGUGUUUUUAUUGGAGUCAUCAUCGUAUAAUCAUGGUGUAAUACAUGACAUGCCGUCUCAUAUCUGUAACAUGUUUCAUCAUAUUCAUGAGCAACUGCAUCAUUGUUAGCUAAGCUAGUCAUGCUUGUAUGGUUCUUCCUACUACAGCCUAAUUCUGAAUUCUGCAUUUCCAUGUCAGUUUUUUGACACAAUACGUGUUGUUUUGGUGUGCAGGACCCAAGCAAGUUUGCCGUUGCUGCCCCUGCUGCUGCUGCCUCCGGUGGUGCUGCCGCCGCUGCCCCGAAGGAGGAGGAGAAGAAGGACGAGCCCGAGGAGGAAUCAGAUGGCGAGAUGGGAUUCAGCCUGUUCGACGACUAAGCUGUGUGCCUUCCUUCAUAAAGCCGUGUCCAGUCGCCAGUUUUGUUAAGUGUUGAACACUGAAGUUUUUCAAGUCUUAUUAUUACCUUGAACAAGAAUUAAUUAUGCUGUUUGUUAGUGUGUAUUCGAAUAUGUUAACGUUAUGUUAUGCACUUAGUUACUUAUGCAUUGCUCUGCUUUGUGCUUCUCUCUUUUAUGUUUGCUGGGAUUCACUUCGUUAGAUUUUAAGUAGGCUUGUUCAUCGAUUGCUCUGUUCAGACAGGCUUCAUUCAUCCAGCAAAAGUAAUGGUAUCUGUUCAAGUCAGAUUUUAAGUUUUUGGGAUCGAGCGCUGAUUUGGCCGGUGGAUGCAAUGCUCCGAUCCUGAAGCAAGCCUUGGUCUUUCAACCGAGCGAGCGAUUUCUGUGACAUAUCUUUGUACUCUUUCUCCCCCACUCUGCCCUCAGAUCCUGCGGAGAUCGACGGCCAGCCACUGGAUCGGCUGGCACUGGGCCGUGGGGGCGGAGGUAUGGGAUGGACCUGGGUGCUGCUGCUCGCGUCGGAGAGGGCGCUCUGUUUUUCUACAGAAGCUCGACGUGACCGCGCCGUGCAGCUGAUUCCUUUAUGCCGCCCUGCCUUUUCUACAGGAGCUCCAAAUACACCGCCGCCGCUGCAACGUCGAUUUUGGGGGAUCACAGACUCUAGGGCGUGUUUGGUUGUCUGCAUAUGGACUUGCUGCAUUAGGAGAUCAACAUUGGCACGUUGUUUGGUUGCCUGUCCGACAUGACGAGCAUGGAGUGGUGGACGAGCGACCCCGUCGGCGGCACGGCGAGUGACAUUGUCGGCAAACUAGUUACGGUUCUCGAGCGAAGACAGUGGACAGAGGAGGAGAAUGUAGUGCUCGCGCCAUCGUAUCGUCAGUGCAGUGGACGAGAGAGGAGGCCGAGAUGAUCAAUGCGCGGAGGGACGAAUAUGAGGGCUCUGAGCAGAGGACAGAGGAGCUCGAUAUGGCGGCAUUAGUGCAGUAGACUGUUGUUCAAAGAGAGAUGAAGCUACGAUUAUCGAAACCAAAAGCUUACAACACGAAUGUUGUGAGGAACUGCGAGAUUAGUCUGCUGGACAAAGAAAAUUUCAAACAAUCGAUCGUGCGCGAUGAAUCUGACAAAAUUCGUCCAAAACAGCUCCAAACGGGAACACAUGAUUAAAAACUUACGGCCGACGAAACUACGAACCGAUCGCCUGAAUGGAACCGUAGCAUCGAGGUGCAUCUUUUUCGUGUAGAGCUUACCUCGAAUCGAAGCACUGUUGUGUAGAUCAGAGAGAGGAGAUUAGAUAGAAGCUUAAUGAAGGUUGAAAAAGACCUCACUUAAUCACCUUACAUCUUUCCAGCAAGCCAGGCUCUGGGCUGCUUUAAGAAGCGUGCGGUGCAGACCCAACAGUGAAAACGAGCAACCAAACAGAUUUCUUUCUUCCCGUGCGGGCCUGGCUGGCCCCUAUGCGGGCAACCAAACACGCCUCUAGAUGCAUGUGAGACUUUAGCUUUUGUGUGUAUCCAUGACAACCUUCAAGUCAAAUCAUUAGAUGGAAAUGGAUGUCACAAACGAUCAGACGUUGUUUAAGCUUUGUUGGUUCGUAGGCCUCAGAAUAUGAUUCUUUAUCAUAAUGUCCUCAAUGAUAAACAUUAUGAACUUUCAACCUUUUGUCAGAUGGUCAAAAUUUACAUUUUUUGGUAAUGUCCACAUGGCGACAUGGCAGUUUUUUUUCUUCACUUUAUUGGCAUGGCAAAAUUUACUCUUUUAAUUGCAAUGGAAAUUUUACCUUUGUCAACAUGGCAAAUUUAACUACACCGCCAUGGGAAAUUCUUCACUUCUAUUGCCAAUAGCAAAAUGUACUUUUUAUUUGCCAUGGCAUAUUUACAUUAUUAACCAUGGCAAAAUUACUUAUAUUGUCAUGGCAAAUUUACCUUUGACAUGUCAAUUUAAUAGCUCAUGGCAAUUUUUCCUUUUCAUGGGACCAUGGUAAAUUGGCUAUGGCAAUUUUACUUCGAGUAUAUUGAGCAUGGCAAAUGAACAAGAAACAAAGUCUACAAUCAUUGAGUACAUUGAGCAUACCAUGACGCAAAAAAUUACGUGGAAUGGUCACAUGUUUUUUUUUUUUUGAAAAAGUGUCUUAUACAUCAUAGCAAGUUUUGGAACAUUUUUUUGAAUAGCCACAUGACAAAUGUAUGCAUUUUCUAUCUUCAAAACAUGUUACCAUUUUAAGAACAUGUCAAUUUUACUUUGUAGCAUGGUAAAUUUACUUUUAUUGUGAUGACAUUUUUUACAUUUAUUGUCAUGUCAAUUUUACUUUAUUUUCUUACCAUGUCAAUUUUACCAUUUUAUUUUGGUCACGGCAAAUUUACCUUUUUCUGCCACUGCAAAUUUACCUUCAUUGUCAUGGCAAUUUUAAUUUAACAUUUAUGACAAAUUUACUUUUAUGGCUUAUGUCAGAUUUACUUUUACGGAGCAUGGAAUGUUUACUUUUAUUGCCAUGGCAAAAAUACUUUGCGUUCAUGGAAAAUUUUGCUCUUUCCACCGUUCAUGGGAAUUUUUGCUUCUAAAGACCAUGGUAAAUUUACUUUACGAGACAUGGCAAUUACUAAUAAACAAUAUAAGGUGCACUUUAUUGUGUUCCACUGAUGACAAAUUUUAAUCCACAAAUUUUUGUGCGUAUAUAGUAAAAAUAUCAUACAAAUUGUAAUCCGCAUUUUUCUGCCACCAUGUACACAUGGAAAUUGCCAUGACUUUUUUUUGUGCAUUUUCAUGAAAAGAAAAUCCUUUUGACCAUGUCAAAAUUUGCUUUAAAGACGAUGAAAGUUUUUGGUUUGAACCACUAGGAUAUUUAGUUCUCUAUCACGACAAAUUUGUUUCCCCCCUUAUUGGAUCAUUGCAAUUUUUUAAUAUCAUGUCAAAAUCUAGACUUUUAUUAAUAACCGCCAAAACUGGGCUUUUCAGUCAGAGUACAAACUGGGCCAAACUAGGAUUUACUUUUUCUUGCAAAAAUGGCAUGUACGGACGCGGGAGGUGGCUGUUCGGUCUUAUUUUUCUUUGAAAUGAAGGUGAAAGAUUUGCUUUAUCAAUUAAUUAAUUAAUCAGAAAAGAGUUACCCAUUUAAUUAAUGUAAAAUCAAGUAAGAACCGAUACAAGUCAAUAAUAUAUGGACUAUUCACAAAGCAUGCAACCUUAAAAGCGCACAACCAACCUGACAACCAUACCCAACACGCAACAAUCACCAACCCCUACACUGUUACAUCACAAAGGUCCGGACCCAAUUCCUCCCAUAAAUUAGAGACAAACGUGGGGGGCUUUGCGGGAGACCGGACUAAUCCCACGUCCGCUUUUGAUCGCCCUGGCCAGCAAAAAACCCCUCCCCCUCCCACGCGUUUUCUGUAACACCGCUACAGAGCAUCAACGCACGCAUUCAUGCCCAGCCAGAGCGGACGCGACCGCUCACUGGCGUCGGCAUUGAAGCGACGCGCCUACUGAGAAAGCGCUGCCCGCGUCGCUUCUAGGUGCAAGCGACUGCCAUGCAUUCAAACAACAUGACGACUGCCCGUACAUCCGUUUGUUGCCCACAUUGAUGACCACACGGUUGCCGAGGCGUAUCCUCCGUUGCCACCCUCCCGUCCCUGUGUCGCCCACUAUUGCUAUAAAAACCGGUGCCCUGGCCAUAGCCGCAGUCUUCCACCUCCGAUCCCUCUCUCAUCACCACCACCAUGGAUCCCUUCCCUGCCGAAGCUCUCUGGACGAGUUGACGUCGGACCAGAAGAAGGAGAUGACCGCCACUGCUGCCGGCUGGUUGGCCGGUAGGCAGCUGGAGAACGAUGACAUCCCAAUGGAGGAUGCUACCGAUGACGAACCCGGCGCCAUCCUCCUCAUCCGCGCCACCCUCGCCGGUGCAUUGCACCGUGAUCAUCGGCGAGGUCCGUGCCCAUUACAUGGACAUGGUGCGGGGAGGAGCAGUUCCGGAAGGCGCAGGCCGACGCCCGCCUACCACCUUCUCCCGGAGCAUCUGCAGGCGGAGGAGCAGCUCGUCCCCGGCAGAGCGGUCGCGCUGGUCGUGGACAUGGCAGAGUAGGAGGCGCUGCUUGGGUCCUAUCGCUCCGCCCAUGAGAUCUGCCUCGCUCGCUGGCGGUACCGACAGCAGGUGGCGGAGGUGGCGGUCGUAGAUAAGGAGCGUGACGAUGAGGCGGGUGAGGCGGUGUUCGUCAGACAUCGCCGAGUCCGCGCCCCACCGUGACGACGAUGAAGCCGGCACGUCCGCAAGCGCCAUCGGCAGAGCAGUCACGGUAGGUCGCCGCUGCUCUGGUCCCAGGAAGGCCACCGCUCCUUCCCUCCCGUCGAUGCCAAGCUUGGUGGACUCAACAUCGUCGGCUGAUUAGUCGCUUGGCGGCGAUGUGGAGGUGGACAACUUCUUCCAUGUCCUCCGAAGACGAAGGUUACGGAGGCGGAGCUGGAGAGCGCUGAGGCGGAACUGGAGACUAUGAAGCUUCAAUUCUCGGGGCUCAUGGCCGGACACGAGAACGGACGUCGGCGACCAUUUAGAACUAGCCGGACGAGCUUCACUUAGUUGUGUAAAUGUAAUGAAAUCCAUCAUGUUAAUAUGAAAUCCGGCUGGGUUUAUAUGAAAUUCGGUCGUGUUUGAACGAACUUCGUUCGGUUAAUUUAAACUAUUGUCAGCAUUUAUGCAGCUAACGUUGAAUGUCGUCAUUUCGAAUCCGUGUCGUGCACUCGUCUCUGUUCAUAGACGGAUUUGAAAGAAAAUUUGCAAGCCACAUUUGGACAUGCCCUAAGAAACAUGGAGCUCCUAUACAGCGCUGUAGGCGCCCGUUAACGAUCCGGCGCCUGCAGCGCUGCUAGCAUGGGCCGGCCCACUAGUGUGCUGCCCCAAGUUUAUUUAUUUUUUUACAAAAAUUAAAAUAUGAAAUGAAGAAAGGUUUGCAGAUUUAAAGAAAAAAAGUUCAUCCAUUUGAAAAAUACGUUCAUAUCUUCAAAAAAGGUUCAUAAAUUUUGAAAAAGUUCAUUAAUUUAAACAAAAAGUUCAUUCAAAUUGAAAAAAAGUUCAUCCAACUUAGCAAAAGUUCAUUAAAUUUGAAAAAAGUUCAUAGAAAUUGAAAACAAGUUCAUGUAUUUUUAGAAAAAGUUCAUGGAACUGAAAAAAAGUUCAUAAAUAAAAAAAAUCAUCCAUUUUCAAGACAAAUGUUCAUUAAAUUUCAAAAAAGUUCAUCAAUAUUCAAAAAAGUUCAUCAAUCUCAAAAAAGUUUAUAAAAUUUUCAAAAAAAAAACCAAGAACCGGCGCCUAGAUGGGCCGGCCCAUUUACAGACGCCACAGGCGCCCGUUAACAAAAUGCAUGUUAACUGGCGCCUGUGGUGUCAAAUAGGAUAUGCCUAAGAAACAGCCACGAGCACAUGAGCGAGGACUAGUCAAAGCGAGGCUUGGCCGCUUGGGUUAGUUGGGAUGCUGGUUUUUUCUCUCGAAGAAAACGGUAUAGUGGCAAAGUAUAUAUGGGCUUUCGGCUGCAAAAUUCCAGGGUGGACUUCAUUGUUCUGACCACCCUUUGACCCCUCAUCAAAAGAAAAAGAAAAACCCUGGCCACCCUCUGGUAGUCUGGUCUGGCUACGCCAGUGCUGCCUGCCCUGAUCGUCUACCACCCCGUCCCUGUCCUCAAAACCCUAGCUCGCCCUAAACCGUGGCACCCACCGCCGCCUGCGCCGGCGUUCGUCUUCCGAAGCACAGGAGGGCUCUCGAUCUAGGUCAGACCUCACCGACCGGCACGCUGUGCUCACAACUCGCAUACCCUCCUACUACCAACAUCAGUUGAUUUUCCAUUUCGUUUUCCGGGGGGUCCCAACCUACAUAGCGCACGAUCGAGUAAGAAGGGCAAUCCUUGUGUGUGCUAUGCUACACAAUGACUGCUUGGCUAAUGAGGGCCAUUAGUUGAUCUGAUGAUGGCUACCUGUGGUUUAUUUACUCUGUUUUAUUUGGGAGGGGGACAGGGCUGGGGCCUGAUGGUCACCAUCACAUGGCAACUUUGUCUUGUGGCCGCCCGGGACGGCGUAGAUUAACCCGAUUGAACGGUCGGCCGACACGUGCUGGCGCUCUCCACCGUUCUUUUUGUGAUUUAUUAUAAGGUUUUAUUCAGGCUGUGCAUAGUGAACAUUUUAUAUUUGAAUUGUAAGUAUGGCAUGACUUCACUGUUUGAUUUAAUGCUCUCAAGUGAUGUUUUAUCAUCUUUCGGGUGCUGAUUAGUAUCUUCACGGUGUGAUAAGUGUUUUCCAGGUGUUAUUGAGUCUCUCACACGCUAUCAUUUUUAUUAUUGAGAUGAGAUCCUUUGUGAGCUUUCGUAGAAAAUUUAGUACUACUUUUCUUCCCAAGUGCACGGUACUUUUUUUCUUCAAGAUUUUAAUGCAAUAAAUAAAAAUUGAAUGGUGCAAUCGGACCCUCGCCACACCCUGGGGAUCGAACCUGGUUGCACGACAUAUUCUCUAUUUGCCCACCACCAUGACCACUGCGGGUUACCUUAAUAUAUUGGAAUUUAUAACAAAGACACUAUUCGAGACAUUAUUUCAGUACUUAGGUUGCAAAUAGUACCAUAUUAUAUAGAUGCUCCAUAUGUCCAUAAACCCCUUCCUUUUAAUUUUAACUAACAAGCACACUUUUGUUCCUUGCGCUUUAUUUCUUUAAAAGGAUCUGGUCCUGUUUUCUCUCUUUUUUCCCUUGGGAUAUGUGCUUGUAUAGGUUGAUAUAAACAACAAGAGGGCAUCAGAUUGUACCAGAAAGUGCCAAAUAAGUACAGAUUGCAACACAAGCGAUGGGAUGUAAUAGUCAAAAAAAUAAGGCUGCGCCGGAGCAAGAACCAACUACUUUACCCGAUAAAAAGAAGUGCUUUGCUUGUAAAGAGACAUCACACAAUUUGGAUCAAUGUAGGAUAAAAGACAAAAUGGGUACUGUGGCCCAGCUAUUUGGACGUUCUACAAGCUUUCCAUUCUACAUGAUCCAACCUUCAAAGGAAGUUGUCGAAAAUGAAAAUUCUACCAUCACUGCCUGCUGAUCACAUCUAAUACCUGUAACUUGGACGCGGCACGAGUGAAAACUGAACUAAACAAGUUCUGGAAGCUAACUGAUGACUGGGAUAUAAGGAGAGACAGUAGACAGAAUUUCGUAGCAUCCUUCAACUCAGAGGAUGACCUACUAAGCAGUUUAAAGCCUCCCGAUGUAGAAACAUUUCUGGAUGAAAAGGAGGUGAAUUUCAGUGUAGCAAUGUGGGAUGAAGGUGAUGGGGAAAGCUUGACUUGAUCAAAGAGUGGCUUUUGGUCUAUGGGGUCCCAGGUGCAUAUAGAAACUGGAAGGAGCUAUAUCAAGUGGCAUCUGCAGUUGGAGUUCUGCUUGGGGUGGAUGAGGAAAGUUUGGAAAGUGGAGAUAAGGAGCCUAUUAGGUUGAGGAUAGCGUUAGGAUGUCUUGUUGGUGCUCCUUUCUCUUACCACUUUGUGUUUGGAUGGUCUUCUAGACUAGUCAAGUUCAUGAUUGAAGACAGAGUAGGAAGGAUAGAAGGGCAGUGGAAGGAAGUAGAAGAACGGAAUGUUAGCGUCAUGAAGGAAUAUGCAGAUAUAAGAGAAGAAGGUAUCGAGGUACCACCAGGAACAAUGAAUAAAGGAAUUGAUUUGGAGGGCACUGAAGUAGAUUUCACAGGCAAUUCUUCUUUGGAUUUCAGAAGUUGCUCAAGCAAGGAAUGUAAAGAAGAACUGAAGACCACAGAACAGAAUCGUAGCGUCAUGAAGGAAUAUGCUGAUAUAAGAGAAGAAGGUAUUGAGGUACCUCCAGAAACAGUGAAUAAAGGAAUGGAUUUAUAGGGCACUGGAGUAGAUUUUGCAGGCAAUUGUUCUUUGGAUGUUGGAAGUUUCUCAGGCAAGGAACAUAAAGAAGAGCUGAAGACCACAGAAACAGCUACAUUGUUGGAAGUGGCGAAGUUCAUUGCAGAGUUAAGAGUUCAUGAAGACAUCAAGGGAAACAGCACAAGUGCUAUGGCAGCCACCACAGCAAACUUGAAGAUAGCAGCAACAGGGGGCAAUCCCCAAGUGAAAGCUCAGCAGGAGCUGAUCAUAUGUCGGGUUUGGAAGAUUGUUCAGACAAGGAACAUCAAAAGAAACUGAAGACCUGCGAUAUGGCUACAUUUCUGCAAGUGUCGAAGUUCACUGAAGAGUUAAGAAUUGACGGAGAGAUGAAAGAAAACAAUGCAUGUGCUGUAGUGGGCAUGAGAACAAACUCCGAGAGAGCUACAGAAGACAUUCCAAAAGCUACAGAAGACAUGGCUACAUUGCUGCAAGUGUCAAAGUUCAUUGAAGAGUUAAGAACUGAUGGAGAGAUCGAAGAAAACAAUGCAAGUGCUGUAGUGGGCACAAGAACGAACUCCGAGAGAGCUACAGUAGACAUUCCAAAAGCUAAAGAAGACAUGACUACAUUGCUGCAAGUGUCGAAGUUCAUUGAAGAGUUAAGAACUGAUGGAGUGAUCGAAGAAAACNNNNNNNNNNNNNNNNNNNNNNNNNNNNNNNNNNNNNNNNNNNNNNNNNNNNNNNNNNNNNNNNNNNNNNNNNNNNNNNNNNNNNNNNNNNNNNNNNNNNNNNNNNNNNNNNNNNNNNNNNNNNNNNNNNNNNNNNNNNNNNNNNNNNNNNNNNNNNNNNNNNNNNNNNNNNNNNNNNNNNNNNNNNNNNNNNNNNNNNNNNNNNNNNNNNNNNNNNNNNNNNNNNNNNNNNNNNNNNNNNNNNNNNNNNNNNNNNNNNNNNNNNNNNNNNNNNNNNNNNNNNNNNNNNNNNNNNNNNNNNNNNNNNNNNNNNNNNNNNNNNNNNNNNNNNNNNNNNNNNNNNNNNNNNNNNNNNNNNNNNNNNNNNNNNNNNNNNNNNNNNNNNNNNNNNNNNNNNNNNNNNNNNNNNNNNNNNNNNNNNNNNNNNNNNNNNNNNNNNNNNNNNNNNNNNNNNNNNNNNNNNNNNNNNNNNNNNNNNNNNNNNNNNNNNNNNNNNNNNNNNNNNNNNNNNNNNNNNNNNNNNNNNNNNNNNNNNNNNNNNNNNNNNNNNNNNNNNNNNNNNNNNNNNNNNNNNNNNNNNNNNNNNNNNNNNNNNNNNNNNNNNNNNNNNNNNNNNNNNNNNNNNNNNNNNNNNNNNNNNNNNNNNNNNNNNNNNNNNNNNNNNNNNNNNNNNNNNNNNNNNNNNNNNNNNNNNNNNNNNNNNNNNNNNNNNNNNNNNNNNNNNNNNNNNNNNNNNNNNNNNNNNNNNNNNNNNNNNNNNNNNNNNNNNNNNNNNNNNNNNNNNNNNNNNNNNNNNNNNNNNNNNNNNNNNNNNNNNNNNNNNNNNNNNNNNNNNNNNNNNNNNNNNNNNNNNNNNNNNNNNNNNNNNNNNNNNNNNNNNNNNNNNNNNNNNNNNNNNNNNNNNNNNNNNNNNNNNNNNNNNNNNNNNNNNNNNNNNNNNNNNNNNNNNNNNNNNNNNNNNNNNNNNNNNNNNNNNNNNNNNNNNNNNNNNNNNNNNNNNNNNNNNNNNNNNNNNNNNNNNNNNNNNNNNNNNNNNNNNNNNNNNNNNNNNNNNNNNNNNNNNNNNNNNNNNNNNNNNNNNNNNUGCUGCAGUGGGCACCAGAACGAACUCCGAGAGAGCUACAAAAGAAGACAUUCCAAAAGCUACAGAAGACAUGGCUACAUUGCUGCAACUGUCAAAGUUCAUUGAAGAGUUAAGAACUGAUAGAGAGAUCGAAGAAAACAAUGCAAGCGCUGUAGUAGGCACCAGAAUGAACUCCGAGAGAGCUACAGAAGACAUUCCAAAAGCUACAGAAGACAUGGCUACAUUGCUGCAAGUGUCGAAAUAUAUUGAAGAGUUAAGAACUGACGGAGAGAUCAAAGAAAACAAUGCAAGUGCUAUAGUGGGCACGAGAACAAACUCUGAGAGAGCUACAGAAGACAUUCCAAAAGCUGAAGGUGGGCAAUAAAUAUGCGGAAGUUCAACUUCAACAAGCUUGACUGAAGAGGUCUUUGGAGGUGAGUGAGAACUGCACAUUUGGGAACUUCGUUGUGCUAUGUUUAUCAAAUAUGUUACUCUCCUUUCCAAAUCACAAUAAAUGGAAAAUACUUACAAGAGCAUGGGCUAAAAUUGUUUUCGUAAAUGGAAAUAAACGAAUUCUCAGUCCUUGAAAAAAAUAUAAUUAAAAUAUCAUGUAUGUUGUGAUUUUUCUUGGCACAAUAACAAUUGGUUGACACUUUGUUUGCUGACAUCGUUUUUGAUCUGCCAUGGCGGUCACGCAAAACAUUAUCUUUGUCAACGCACAUCAGAAGGUCAAGUCACUGACCGAAAAGAUCAGAUGCAGGGGGUACACUGUCUCAGCAAUCCAUGGUGGUAUGGACCAGCACGCCAGAGAUGUUGCUGUCCAGGAUCUCCGGUCGGGAACAUCCCUUGUCCUUGUCACCACCGAUCUUGGUGGCGCCGACACAUUGCAGGUCCCUGUUGUCAUCAACUAUGAUCUGCCAACACAACCAGUACAAUACAUUCGUAAUGUUCAACGAAGUGGACAGCCUGUAGGGAAUGGUGUCGCUAUCAGCUUCAUUGCUUGUGCUGAUGAGCGUGUCCUGUCUGACAUCCAAAGGUUCUGCAAUGCUCAGAUGGUGGGGUUACCUUCCAACGUCGCUGACCUCUUGUGAGCAAUUCCAUAUGGUGUGCAGAUGGCUAUGUAUACUUGUUUUUGCUAUCGUUGCCCCGAGAGCUGCGCAACAACUGCAUUUUGUUGAACUGUGGGAGUUGUCUUGUGGUAUUUAUGUCAUGGUGGUUCGAUACUGAACCUAAUGUGGUGCAAAUAGUUGUUUGAAAUGUUUUGUUGGUUCACCUGUUGGUUUACUUUUUUUUUUGAGGGAACCUGUUGGUUUACUAGUAUUGUCUAGCCUAUCCUGGGCCUCGACUUGUGUAGUGAUGAAAGCAGCGACCAACUCGCAGCACCAACGUACACGAAGUCUGUACUUAAUGCAUGGGCUAUUAUUUGACCUGAUUUGCCUGAUGCAUGGGUUCAAUUCUUUCCCUUUAAUUUCAGCCAAUCCAAUUUAAUUUCGCCUCUCUCUUUCUCGUUGCUCCUCGCUAUAUUUCUUCAGGAUACCGAGACCCGCACUUUACCUGUUUCUUGAUUCUCGAGAUGGCUUGCUGAAGGUAACUGACAUACAUAUAUAAGGGAAACGCUUAUACCCGGUGAAGGUAACUCACGUACAUAUAUAAGGGAAACGCUUAUACCUGGUCGACACCAGAUCCCUUCUGCUGCAUCAAUUUGUCUAAAAAAACUGAUUGGCUGCCUGACCAUCUAACAGUUGUCCGUUGACUUUUAAAAAAAGUUCAUAAAAAUUAAUUUUUUUAAAUCUGAACGAAAGAGUAUACAUUUUUAAAAAGUUCAUUGAAUUUGAAAAAAGUUCACGGAAUUUUAAAAACUUCUUUGAUUUUGAAAGAAGUUCAUCUAUUUAGAAGAAAAGUUAAAUCAAUUUUGAAAAUAAAUUCACAAAUUUGAAAAAGUUCAUCGAUUUUGGAAAAAGUUUAUCGAAUUUGAAAAAAGCCAUCAAAUUCAAAAAAACAUUCAUGCAAUUUAAAGAAAGUUCAUGGAUUUUGAUAAAAUGGUUAAUUGAUUUGAAUUUAUUUUCAUCUAGUUUUAGAAAAUUUCAUCGAUUUGAAGAAAACAUUCACGUUUUGCGAACAAUUCAUCGAACAAGGAAGAAGAAAAAACAGAAAACAAAAAAGGAAAAAGAACAAAUAAAAGAGAAGAUAAGUUAAAGGUUAUCAGAGCCACUUUGGUGGCGUGGUGGUUACACCCUCAUCCCUCAAUUAAGAAGAUUGCUGGCGCUUUUUUGCGAACUAAGAUACAAAAAGAAAAUGUUAGAUGGGCCGGCUCAGCGUUGGGGCGCUUCAGGAUCCGCCAGCUAGCAUAAUUGGUCAUCAAGUUCAAUAUGAAAUAUUGUUUAUGGUCUUUGAUUCCCGGGGACGCAAUUUUUUGUUGUUUAUUAUGAACCUUUUUUCUAUACUCCUAUAUAGUAUACCAAUAGCAAUUUAUAUGGACCGUUAGAUCUUUCUAAUCGGACGGCUCAAAUUUAAUGGCUUGUGUGACAGGCCUACGUGGCUGUAUAUGGACCGUUGGAUAUGUUAAUCUGACGGCCUGCAUUGCAGGGAUUCGCUGCCCCCUCCCCUGUAUAUCUGACCGUUGGAUAUAUCAGUUGUAGUAGUAGUUUCUAGAAUGUGCACGUGAUUCUCCCUCCUUUCUUUGUAGCAUGCCACUGUUCAGAAAUUUCCAGCACUCCCGUGAUACAUGCUGCAGUAGAGUAUAGUAGGACUAGGAGUACUAGCAACUAGCAAGCACGCAUCAUGACAAGAGAGAGAGAAAGCAUGUGAUGGUGCAGCCUGGGUAUAGGCGCACAAGCCAAAACCAAAUGUUUUAUAAGUCUGGGUAUAAAUGCAAACAAAGUAAAAAUGUAAUAUAUGUUACAACUAAAUAGCUUUUAUUUUCUUUUAUAAAUCUGUUUUACAAAUAUUAUUACCAUUGUUUUUCUUACCAAUAAAUUAUGUGAAAAAUUCAUAUCAACAAAACAGACAUAAUUAAUGUUUAUAUUAUUAUUUUAUUUCUAACGAUAAAUAACUUGGAAAUAUCACUCUUUCCAUUGCUCAAUCUAAUACAUAUUAAAAUUUAUUAGGACAAAUGUUUAAGGAUGACGUGGGUAUGCUUUUUCUCAUGGUAUUCUAAAUUGUGUAAAUUUAGUAUUACACAGAAACAUGAUUAAUUUUUUUAUAAUUUAAUAAUUAAUGAUUAAUUAGCUGAUGAGUUGAGUGUCUCCACCUAUGGUAGUUCAAACUAUGACAGUACUAUUCAAAAUUACCCAUAUUUUUUCGCAUGUAUCUGUGUUAAUAUAUAACUAUCUCUACAUGUUCCCUCAAAAAAACAUUAUCUCUACACGUGCAUGGCACGUGCCAUUUACUAGUUACAUAUUGUGAGCGAGAAACGUGCACCUGCCCAUGGGCUGAGGCCCAUUGUUGCGCUGGUGCGAACCUUUUUUUUUAACUUAUUUCGAGAAAAUAGUACCAACUCAGAAUGAAUAAAUCUUAAAAAAUAAAAAAUAAUUAUGGAUGAAUGGAUGAUUUUUUUUCCAGAGAAACACCUUUUACUUUAUUAGUAAAAUAAGGUAUAGAAGUUUAGCAUUUCAGACAUUACAUGGCUGAUGCUCCAAGGUAUGUCUCGUUGUUGUCAGAGACGGGAAGUGAGAAUAUUUCAGUGAUGCGGCGAAAUGUGGUCGUGAGGCAUUAGAUUAGUGAUUAUAUAUAUUUUUUUCUUUCGAUACAACGUGCGGGCAUGUUUGAUAGUGUAUUCUAGUUUAUAGUUCAGUAGAGUAGAUCCGCAAAAGAAUAGUAAAGUAUUACUAUAGACAAAAAAACCCUUCUCCAUUUCAUAACGUAAGAUGUUUUUUGACUUAGUGUCGAAAAACACGGAGGGAGUACCACUGUAGGUCCGAGCUAAUACAAAACUCGUCGAUGCGGACGGUCGCGGACGGAUGCCUACGGCUGCACAUCGACCUCUAUGGUUGGUGUGACGGGGCGUGCUAGCAGCCAAACAAGUAGCUUCUUUUGGAUUGGAUUCGCAAUCCUGUAUACACUUUCUGGCACGACCUCUCCCUUCCGCGUCGCUCCCGCCUCAUUCAUGGCAAGUGGCCACAUCGCCCAAUGCCUCGGUGGCAUCCUCGCCAGGCGGGCCGGCGCUACUGUGGCCGUCUCCGGCGACCUCUGUCUGAACGGUGCUCAGCUCGUGGAUGGCGUGCGCAGUCUGGCAGCCGGCCUCUUGGAGCGCGGCGUCCGUCCCGGUGAUGUCGUCGCCGUCGUCGGCUUCAACAGGUACGCACAAGGCUACUGCAGCUCACAUCGCCUGCCUCUCUUCCUCCAUUUCACAAUUGCUAGUCAACCAUCUGUUCUUGGCCCUCCGCAAGUCAACCCUCGGGCUUGGCACACACAGAGAACAAUAUCCAAGACACUUGAAACGAAUCUGAGCAUCAGUGAAAAUUGUAUAUCAGUAUCAUCAACUUUUCAUGUGAUCGCCUGUAGCAUUGAGUACAUGGAGCUGUUGCUGGCCAUCCCUUACAUCGGAGCAAUCGUUGCCCCUCUCAACUACCGCUGGGUAAGAGCAUUCUUCUUCCUCUAACUAGAUGAACAAAUCAACAUCUCCGCACUACAUCAUACAGUAUGACCUGAAAUCUUCCAAAUGCAAUUAAACUCCAACUCGUAUUGCUGCAUGAGUAUUUGAAGCUGGCCAUUUGCCUGAAUGUGUCAUUCUGAAGAAUGCAAAAAAUAAAGAAUGACGUCGUAUUUCUUCUCGUCUAGAGUUUCGAGGAGGCGGUGCAGGCGCUGGAGCUUGUGCGGCCGUCGGCAUUCAUCUUUGAUGGUGCUUACAGCUCAUGGGCGCUCCGGUUGAUGGAGAGCCAGAGCUUCUCAUCCAUCUGCCUUUACGUCACCAUCGGGGAUCCUGUCAACAUCGGCCAAGGUGCAAACUGUAAGUAUGCAGAAGAUGGAGAGAUGCCUCUUUCUCUUUUCCUUUUUUGGAUUGACCACAAAAUAGAUCGUUACAGGAUCUAAGACCGGCGUUUGUAAAUGUUCUGCAUUCAACAUGUUAUUUUCAGUUGUGUCAGUUGAUCAUGUCAAGAGGAGUUGCAGAGGAACCACGGAAAUGGAGCCCGUGUCGGCUCCGAGGGAUGUCGGUUUAAUAUGCUUCACAUCUGGUAAAAGCUCCGGGCUGGUUCUUGGCUUUGAUUUGUAUUAAGCCUUUUACCGGCAGUGCUAGAGGCUUUUCAGCCCUGCAUUUUGACAACACAUAGGUUGAAUUCAUGUUUGGUCCUGAUUCAGGAACCACUGGACAGCCAAAGGGCGUAGCAAUAAGCCAUACAUCUUUGAUCAUUCAAUCUCUAGCAAAAAUCGCCGUUGUCGGCUACGGUGAGGAUGAUGUAUGCUUUCAGGAUCCAUGUACCACUGUAGUUAUUGAAAAUUGCAUUAGCUUAUCCAACUUCAUGCACUGCUCGCUAGGGCGUCAAAUGAUGUUAUUAAGUUUCAUGCUAUUUGAGUGUAACUGACUUUUUAUUUCAGAAAAUAACAAUAGUUGUUAUAAUUAUUGUAUGGUUACAGGUCUACCUACAUACAGCCCCUCUAUGCCAUAUCGGAGGGAUCUCUUCAUGCUUGGCCAUCCUGAUGGCUGGAGGCUGCCAUGUCCUGAUACCUAAAUUCGACGCAAAAUCAGCUAUCAAAGCAAUCCAAGAACACAAAGUGACUUGUUUCAUCACCGUUCCCACAAUCAUGGCUGACCUCCUGUCCUAUUCUCGGUAACCGAUAGUGCUAAAAUACAAUCUAAAAGCCUAACAAUGCCCAGUUUGUUGUUGACUUUCGGUACUUGAUCAGGAAAGACAAGAUAUCAGGAUGCGGGUCGGUGGCUAAGAUCCUCAAUGGUGGCGGCAGGUUGUCGGAUGAGUUGAUAAAUGGAGCUUCUCAUUUAUUUUUUAACGCUGCUAUCUUUUCAGCUUAUGGUAUAUGUUCUUACGACCAAAUGCCACUUCACUUUAUCUGCAGUUUCUUUAGAAAUUAAAAUUAUGUAAUCAUUUUUAUGCUUACUAACAGUAACAUCUCUUAUCUGAGUACUGAACUUGUUUUUAUCAGGGAUGACAGAGGCAUGCUCAUCGCUGACAUUCAUGCGUAUGAACAACCCAGAAGUUGAAGAAACCAAGAACCAGUUAACCAAGCAAUCUGAGGGUGUUUGUGUUGGAAAGCCAUCACCUCAUGUCGAGAUACGAAUCGGUAGAGAUGAAAGUAACAGUACCUCUUCACAAAUGGGGAAAAUCUUGACAAGAGGCUUGCACACAAUGGUUGGAUACUGGGGGAACAGUACGGCUGAUACACCAGAAUCUGUUAGGAAUGGAUGGCUUGACACCGGGGACACUGGAUGGAUAGAUAGGACCGGUAAACUAUGGCUCAUGGGGCGGCAAAAAGGCCGCAUAAAAAGCGGAGGGGAAAAUGUUUACCCGGAAGAGGUGCUUCUUAUUUUACUGGUGCAUGUGAUGUCCUCUUCAAUCUUCUCAAGCUGAUAUAUUAGGUGUUAGUUUCUUCAUCUUUAAAAACAAUCAUGGCUAAUGAUCAACAUCUCAAAUAUUUGCAGGUGGAAUUAGUGCUGUCACAACACCCAGGGGUAGCUAAAGCUGUGGUUUUCGGUGUACCGGAUAGUUGCCUUGGGGAGAAAAUUGUCGCUUGUGUUAGCAUCAGGGAUGACUGGAGAUGGGUUGAUGCAACAGCUGAGCACCAAGGAGAAGGCAAGGAAGUGUCUGCUCAUAUUCUUCAAGAAUAUUGCAGGAUAAAAAAUCUGAGCAGGUUAGCAAUCCCUCCCCUCUUAAUUACCACAUUUUGGAGUAGCAUGCCCUACUACUUGAAUUCAAUAAAUAGAUUAGGUCUUAAACAGUGCAGACAAAUGAUAUAUUAGUACGGAGGAUCUACAUCUAAUCCUACAUUUAUUCUCUGCAGAUAAUAGUAGUCACUAGGUUAUUUCAGGCAUGCACAUAUUUAUUUGAUAUUCUUGAAGCUUUUUCUUAAAGGAUUACGUAUAUUACUGCGCGUACACUCUUUUCUCCAGUAACUUGUAGUGAUCCUCUUUGGAACAGAUUCAAGGUGCCAAGAUUAUAUUAUCACUGGAGUAGGCCGUUCCCAGUGACCACCACAGGCAAAAUUAAAAGAGAGGAGCUGAAGGCCAAGGUCUUGGCUUGCAUGCAACCGCGUAGUAGUUUGUAGCUUCAGGCCGUGGACUAACAAUCACGUGGGAUUCUUCUCUCCACCGACCAUUUCCAAUGGAGUUUCAGUUUUGUACGAGUUUACAUGUACGGACAUGCAUGGCCUAGUUUUGGAUAUUCGGUUGUAGUGGUCAUCAGUGAAGAAAUAGUCUGUGAGAAAAAUAUAGAACCCUAAAAUUGUGUGUUGUAUUGACGUANNNNNNNNNNNNNNNNNNNNNNNNNNNNNNNNNNNNNNNNNNNNNNNNNNNNNNNNNNNNNNNNNNNNNNNNNNNNNNNNNNNNNNNNNNNNNNNNNNNNNNNNNNNNNNNNNNNNNNNNNNNNNNNNNNNNNNNNNNNNNNNNNNNNNNNNNNNNNNNNNNNNNNNNNNNNNNNNNNNNNNNNNNNNNNNNNNNNNNNNNNNNNNNNNNNNNNNNNNNNNNNNNNNNNNNNNNNNNNNNNNNNNNNNNNNNNNNNNAGAUUUUUCUUUUAGCAUUUGGCCCUGCUCACUCACGAGGAUCACAUGUGUCACUGCACGUACAUUGGCUUCUUUUCUCCAGUAACUUGUCACGAUCUUUUUGAAACAGAUUCAAGAUGCCAAGAUUAUAUCACCACUGGAAUAGGCCGUUCAGUGCCACCACGGGUAAAAUUAAAAGAGAGAAGCUAAAGGCCGAGAUCUUGACAUGCAUGCAACCAUGUACUCCCUCCGUUCCUAAAUAUAAGUCUUUGUAGAGAUUUCACUAUGGACUACAUACAGAGCAAAAUAGGUGAACUACAUUCUAAAAUGCAUCUAUAUACAUCCGUAUGUGGUCCAUAAUGAAAUAUCUACAAAGACUUAUAUUUAGGAACGGAGGGAGUAGCAGUUUUGUAGCUUCAGGCCAUGGGCCAACAAUAGCAACAACCAUGGUAUGUUAAUGAUACAAGAUUAGAAGUGUGAAAAUAACACAGACCAUAGACAUAUUUAGUAUGUCUCAGUAAAAAUAGCACCAUCUAAGCUAGAAACCUUAAGGUUCGUGUAUUCAGUGCGUCUCCGUGUAAAUAGAAAAGUGGCGCCGCGACCAACUAAGGGCGGUGGCCUUCCCAAAAUAGGAAUUUACUUCAUGGGUGAGAAUGCCUGCCGCGAGGCGGUGUCUAUUUGAGCCAAAUUUGAAUGUGAUCAGGCACUGCACCUUCAACAUCCCUAGUCCCAACCUUCAUUUGUCGNNNNNNNNNNNNNNNNNNNNNNNNNNNNNNNNNNNNNNNNNNNNNNNNNNNNNNNNNNNNNNNNNNNNNNNNNNNNNNNNNNNNNNNNNNNNNNNNNNNNNNNNNNNNNNNNNNNNNNNNNNNNNNNNNNNNNNNNNNNNNNNNNNNNNNNNNNNNNNNNNNNNNNNNNNNNNNNNNNNNNNNNNNNNNNNNNNNNNNNNUGUGAAGGAAUUUUUUUGAGAAGGGCUUAUGUUAGGUUUUUCUUUUAGAGGAUCAGUUGCGUCACUGCACCCAGUAAUUUGUCAUGAUCUUUUAUGAAACAGAUUCAAGAUGCCAAGAUUAUAUCACCACUAAAGUAGGUCGUUCCCAGUGACCAUGAUAGGCAAAAUUAAAAGAGAGGAGCUGAAGGCCGAGGUCUUGACAUGCAUGCAACCGCCUAGUAGUUUCUAGCUUCAAGCCGUGGACCAACAAUGGCAGCAACCAUGAUAUGUUUUUUUUAAACGGAGGCAAAAUAUUUGCCUCAUCUCAUUAAUUAAGCAGAGAAGAGUACGGAUUGUCAGUUACAUAGGCACAAAGGCUAGAUAUAACGCACAGAGGGAUUACUCUCCCGGAAUAAGGUUCCCUAGAUACGUAGCCCCUGCUCUCACCCAUAGCUGCGCCUCCGCCUUGAUGGAUGAAAAUACGUGAGUGGGUAAGGAGGCCUUGUUUUGAAAGAUCAUUGCAUUCCUUUCGUUCCAAAUUGCCCUACAAAUUAGCAUCUUCAGAGAGUUGAGAGCCUUCCUACUGCGCCGUUGAGAAGUCUGUUAGCAUCCCACCACCUUUAAAUGGAUGGAAGAUCGGCCCAAGCAGGCGCCUGCGAUUGUAUCCCCAGCCAAUCAUGGAUCAAAUUCCAAAUCUUGAUCAAGUAGUGGCAUUUGAACAUGAGGUGCGCGGCAGAUUACGGUUCCCUUUUACAAAGCUGACAAAGACCGUAGUUGGGCCAGCCCCUACGGGCAAGUCUAUCUGCCGUCCAAACUCUGUCGUGGAGAAUGAGCCAUGAGAAGAAUUUGGUUUUAGGCGGCGCCCAAACCUUCCAAACCAUCCUAGGCAUGUCUAACUUUAUUAGUCAAGCCAAUUGCAUUCUGUACGCCGUGGCAACAGAGUAGCAUCCAUCCGUCGUAAAUUUCCAUUGAAUGACAUCCUCUGUGCCCGCCGUGAGUUGUACCUCCUGGACCUUGCUCCAAAGAUUAACAAAUUGUUGUAUGUGGCCGACAGAGAGGCCUCCCUGCAUGUUGAUACGGCGAAUCCAGUCACUGUUUGUCAAAGCCUUUGCCACACAGGCAUUCUUGCGCUUUGAAAGGGCGAAGAUACCCGGAGCCAUGUCCUUUGGCUUUUGCCCCUGUAGCCAGGGAGCGAACCAGAAACUCGCCUUCGUGCCAUCACCCAUGGUAAGAGUCGUCACAGAGUAGAAAAGAUCUAGGUCAUCGUCAUCACAAGGGAUGUCAAAACCAACCCAAGCUCUCUGGGGUCCACCCAUUGAAACCAUAGCCACCAAAGCCUGAGUGCUCUAGAGAACUUAGCGAGGUCGAGGAUUCCUAAUCCACCUAGGUUUAGGGGUCUGCAAACCAGCUUCCAGUUAACCAUGCAAUGACCUCCUGACAACUUAUUUGUGCCAGUCCAUAAGAAGACCUUUGAAUCUUAGCUAUAUCAUCUGUGGUCCCAACUGGAAUAUCGAGUGCGGUGAGGUAGUAGAUGAUCUGGGAGGAUAACACAUACUUCACAAGAGUGGAUCUACCAGCAAUAUUGAUGUUUCUGCCUUGCCAAGGAGGAAGUUUCUGGGCGACCUUGUCCACCAAGAAAUGACAGUCAGAUUUUGUGAGGAUAUGUGUGGAAAGAGGAAGGCCCAGGUUACACAGCGGGAAUCUAGUUCGGAUGGCAGGGAAGCUUUGGAGGAUAUCAUCCAGAUCGAUAUUUGCACAACGGAUGGGCGCCACAAUACUCUUAAGGGGGUUUGCCAUAAGCCCUGUAACUUCCCCAAAGCUGGUCAAAAUGGUCGCAAGGUUUUGUAUAUCCUCUUUAAUAGGGGCAACGAAGAUAGCUGCGUCAUCAGCAUAGAGAGAGGUACGAACCGCGGUUGCCCGACCACGAAGCCGAUGGAUGAUACGUCUUCAACGCAUCUAUAAUUUUUUAUUGUUCCAUGCUAUUAUAUUAUCAAUCUUGGAUGUUUUAUAUACACUUUCAAGCAAUUAUAUAUCAUUUUUUGGGACUAACCUAUUAACUUAGUGCCUAGUGUCAGUUGCUAUUUUUUGCUUGUUUUUGGUUUCGCAGAAUAUCAGUAUCAAACGAAGUCCAAAUGCCACGAAACUUUUUAGAGAUUUUUUGGGACAAAAGACACACUAGAAGCUUCGGGAGAAGACCAGAUGAUGUACCGUGGGCCCACAAGGCACCAGAUCGCGCCUGGUGUGUGGUGGGGCCCACGUGGCUCUGUUUGACCUAACUCCGCCUCUAUAAAUUCUCUAAAAUCGUGAAACCCACAGAGGAGUCCAUGAAAUACUUUUUCCGCCGCCGCAAGUUUCAGAACCACGAGAUCCCAUCUAGAUGCCUUUUUCGGCACUUUGCCGGAGGGGGAUUCGAUCACGGAGGGGGCUCUGCAUCAUCCUUGCUGCCCUCCGAUGAGGCAUGACUAGUUUACCACGGACCUAUAGGUCCAUAGUUAGUAGCUAGAUGGAUUCUUCUCUCUAUUUGAUCUUCAGUACAAUGUUCUCCUCAGUGUUCUUGGGGAUCUAUUUGAUGUAAUGACUUUUUGCGGUGUGUUUGUUGGGAUCCAAUGAAUUGUGAGUUUAUGAUCAGAUCUAUCCAUUAAUAUUAUUUGAGUUUUUUCUAAACUCUUUUAUGCAUGAUUGUUAUAGCCUCGUAUUUCUUUUCCGAUUUAAUGGUAUGGUUUGGCCAAUUAGGUUCAUUAUCUUGCCAUGGGAAGAGAUGCUUUGUAAUGGGUUCGAUCUUGCGGUGCUCAAUCCCAGUGACAGAAAGGGACAUGACACACAUAUCAUUGCUAUUAAGGGUAAAAAGAUGGGGUUUAUUCAUACGUGAGUUUAUCUUGUCUACAUCAUGUUAUCUUUCUUAAGGCGUUACUCUAUAUUUCCAUGAACUUAAUACACUAGAUGCAUGCUAGAUAGCGGUCGAUGUGUGGAGUAAUAGUAGUAGAUGCAGAAUUGUUUCGGUCUACUUGUCUCGGACGUGAUGCCUAUAUACAUGAUCAUUGCCUUGGAUAUCGUCAUAAUUAUUAUUUUUCUAUUAAUUGCCCAAUAGUAAUUUGUUUACCUACCGUAUGCUGUUUUCAAGAGAGAAGCCUCUAGUGAAAACUAUGGUCUCCAGGUCUAUCUUUUAUCAUAUAUUAAAACAAAGAUGCCUUGCUGUAAUUUUCUCUUAUUUAUUUUAUUUUAUAUUUUUGUUCGAGCUAUCUAUCGAAAACUAUAGAUUUUAAUCUUGCUCGUAACCGUCAAGGGACUGACAACUUGUUCAUGUUGGGUCGCAAGUAUUUGUUGUUUGUGUGCAAGUGCUGUUCAUGAGUCGUUUCUUGGUUCUCCUACUGAAUUGAUAACAUUGGUUUCACAAAUGAGGAAAAUAUUUAUCUCUACUAUACUGCAUUAUCCUCUCCUUUUCGGGGAAAUCGCAACGCAACUCACAAGUAGCAGGAAGAAUUUCUGGCGCCGUUGCCGGGCAGACAUCAUAAACAACUAUCAAGUACCUUCGCAUAAACUUUCAUCUCCUUGCAUUACAUUAUUUGCAAUUUGCCUCUCGUUUUCAUUUCCCCCGCUUCUAAAUAUUUUUUACAAAAUAUUUUCCGUUUGCCUUUUUGCUUGAUUGAUUUAUCUUGUCAUCAUGACUAGCAUAACUAUCCCUCCUUUGUCACCUGAUUUUGAAGUUCUUUACUUAAAACAGACACAAGGAGAAAAUCCUAAGGAUGCUUGCUAUAGGUUAAUGGAAUCUUACCAUGUUUGCUCUGUAAAAGGAGAUCUAAAUUUUUUACUUCGCAAUUUCUAUAUAGACCAUAGACAACUUUUGGAUUUUGCUGCAAAAGGGAAUUUUAUUGAGAGUGAUGCCAAUACUGCCUAUGAAAUAAUAGAGGGAAUAUUGGGGGUUCCACCAUCACAAAAGGAAUUUUCUUUUACUCAAGAGGGAAUUCAAAUACAAGACAAAUUAGGUGAUAUGUAGAAAAAUUUGGCUGAGUUGCAAAAGUCUAAUAAACCUCUAAAAAAUAUUAGUGGAAACCUCAAUCGCAUGAAUACUUUGAUCACUUUAUGUAAUAAACGGUUGGAUAUUCUAGAUCUUAAGAUGGCAUCUUUCCCUGAGAAUAAUGGGAAGCGUAAAGAACCUCAUGGCGAGGGAGUCUUGGACUAAGGGGUCCUCGGGCGUCCGGUCUAUCUAAUAUGGGCCAGACUAAUGGGCCGUCAAGAUACAGGAAGAAGACCACCUGUUGUGUACGGUGGGGACUCCCGUAUACGUGGAUGGCAAGUUUAGGUGUCCGGAUAUGCUAUUCCCUUUCUGUUAAACCGACCUUGUACAACCCUAAGCCCCUCCGGUAUCUAUAUAAACCGGAGGGUUAGAUCGAAGGCAGGAUCACAACAUUGAUAGGCUAGCCAAGCUAGGGUUUAGCCAUUACGAUCUCGAGGUAGAUCAACUCUUGUAACCCCUAUACUCAUCGAAUAUAAUCAAGCAGGAGUAGGGUUUUACCUCCAUUAAGAGGGCCCGAACCUGGGUAAACACUGCGUCCUUUUGAUCAUUAUUACCAUCGAUCCUCAGACAUACAGCUUGGGCCUCCCUACCCAAGAUCUGCCGGUUUUGACACCAACAUUGGUGCUUUCAUUGAGAGCUCCGUUGUAUUGUCAACUGAAGGAUUGAUGGCGCGCCUGCUCAUUAACGAUGAUGCUGCGUCUAGGGAAACCUUUCUUCCCGGACAGGUAUUUGUGUUCAGCGACUCCGUGCUUCGUGCCAACUCGACCGGGCGCCUCGAGCAGGUCGACAGUUACGCCCCCGGCCACCAGAUUAGGUUUGGAAACCUGAAUUACAUCACCGAUAUCUGAGGAGAUCUGGUCUUCGAGGGGUUUGCGGCCCCGGUGGCCGCUCCUUGCCCCCAUGAAGGAAGCUCUUUGGAUCCGCUCUUAGAUCCCAUCCAGGUGUCGACACUCACACCCACCUCGGCCAUAGUUCCGGCGCAGGUAGUAUCAUCCGAAGACGGGAGGAUUAGCCCCGCUGGACUCUUUUCUAUCAUGGAACUCCUGACCGGAGACCCAGACGCGAUUUUGGACUCGCCUCUGGACGACAACUUCGAACCAUCAAAGUCUGCGUCGAUCGGGACCGAUCAGGUGUCUGUUGCCGAACUUAGCCCUACGGAUCCGCGGACUGUCACCCAGCUUUCGCCCUUAGACGAAGCACUGGGUUUGAUGUGAUCUCUUGCCAUUACGGAAGCUCUGCCUCCGAACUGCACCCAGCAUGGGCUAGGGGCUGGGAGCGAGGAAUUUUAUGACCCGCCCACCACUCACUUAAUAGCCACUGUCGAGGAUUUAACCGACAGGCUGGACUACGCGUCCAAAAACAUCGACGGUAUGGACGAUGAUGCCGAAGCCGAAUCGGGCCAAGUCCCACCCAUCACAGGGUGUUGGACGGCCACUUCAACCUAUGACGUAUACACGAUGGACACUCCUGACAAAAAGGAUGACGAGGAAAAUCAGAAUCCUGAUGAGGACAAACCCAUCGAUGAACCACCAAAGCGCCAACGUCAGCGGCGCCGCUCACGUUCGCGUCGGGCAAAGGAUAGUAACACCAGCACCAGAGAUAAUGAGACUCCGGAUAAUGCCAAAGAGCCUGAACACCCCGUUGAGCCCACAUCCGAUCAUGAUGAGAGGGAAGAGGGUCAGUAUAGCCCCAAACAUGCUGAUCAUGAAGAUUCAGAAGACAACAACUAUAUGCCAGUCUCUGAAGAGGAUAUUAGCCUCGGUGACGAAGACUUUAUCGUCCCAGAGGAACCCCUCGAGCAAGAACGCUUCAAGCGACAGCUCAUCGCCACAAUGCGGAGCCUAAAAAAGAAACAACAACAGCUCAAAGCUGAACAUAAUACACUCAAUGAAAGGUGGACCAAGGUCUUGGCCGCCAAGGAGUACGGCCACGAGCGACCUACCAAAAGUUACCCCAAGCGCAAGCUGCUGCCACAAUUCGACGACGAAGCCCUUGAGCUAAUACCGUCGAAUUACAAUCAGGCAGACCAACCAGACAUACCACCACGUGGAUGGGAUAAAGCGGCAUAUCAAGCUGAACACCAGCCCGCACCCCCUCGCCAAAGAGGCAAGGAGACAACAGAUACGAGCUACACAUAUGACUUGCAACGGGACCUGGCCAAUAAAGCCAGUCAGACCAGAUCAAUCUAUGGAUCAAGAGGCCAUGCCCCGGCACGAGAUAACGGCUAUGAAGUCCGGCGUGAUGAACAUUACAAUAUUCGGGAUUAGAACCGAACUCAGAUGUCAUCCGAUCUCCACCGUGAUGUCGCACGAUACAGGGGUGCCGCACACCCCAUGUGCUUUACCGAUGAGGUAAUGCAACACCAGUUUCCGGAAGGGUUUAAACCCGUGAACAUCGAGCAGUAUGAUGGAACGACGGAUCAAGCCAUUUGGAUUAAAGAUUUUCUUCUCCACAUUCAUAUGGCUCGUGGAGAUGACCUCCAUUCCAUUAAAUAUCUUCCUCUAAAGCUGAAAGCACUAGCAUGACACUGGCUGAAUAGCCUCCCAGAGAACUCAAUUGGAACCUGGGAAGAUUUGGAAGAUGCUUUUCGGGCCAACUUUCAGGGCACUUAUGUCCGACCACCGGAUGUGGAUGACUUGAGUCACAUAAUCCAGCAACCAGGCGAAUCGGUUCGUAAGCUUUGGAAUUGGCUCCUAAUUAAAAAGAACCAAAUCAUGGACUGUCCGGAUGCUGAAGCCUUAGCAGCCUUCAAAUACAGUGUCCGGGACGAAUGGCUCGCCCGACACCUCGGGCAGGAGAAGCCGAAGACCAUGGCAGCCUUAACUGCACUCAUGACCCGUUUCUAUGCAGGUGAAGGUAGCUGGUUGGCUCGUAGAAGCAAUAGCUCGGGUGACCCCGACACUUCUGAGGCCAGGGACGGCAAUGGUAAACCACGCCGCAAUAAAAACAAACGUCAGAGCAACAAUGACGACGCAGAUGAUACAACAGUCAAUGCAGGAUUUAGUGGUUCUAAAUCCAGUCAGCGGAAGAAACCUUUCAAAGGCAACAAGGACGGUCCUUCCAUCUUGGAUAAAAUCCUUGAGAGGCCCUGUCAGAUUCAUGGCACACCCAAUAAGCCUGCUAACCACACCAACAGGAACUGUUGGGUUUUCAAACAUGCCGGUAAGAUAAAUACCGAACACAAGGGAAAAGGACCUCCAAGUGAGGAAGAUGACGAGCCUCGUCAGCCGAACACCGGGGGCCAAAAGCAGUUUCCCCCGAGGUGAAAACAGUGAAUAUGAUCUAUGUCACUCACAUUCCCAAAAGGGAGCACAAGUGCACACUAAGGGACGUCUACGCCGUAGAGCCUGUCGCCCCAAAGUUCAACCCAUGGUCAGCCUGUCCGAUCACUUUUGAUUGCAGGGAUCACCCAACCAGUAUCCCUCACGGGGGUUCGGCCGCCCUGGUACUCGACCCAAUUAUCGAUGGAUACCAUCUAACUAGAGUCCUUAUGGACGGGGGCAGUAGUCUCAACUUGAUUUAUAAAGACACCGUUCGCAAGAUGGGCAUUGACCCAUCAAGAAUCAAGCAUAGUAACACUACCUUUAAAGGUGUGAUACCUGGUGUGGAUGCCCGUUGCACGGGCUAACUGACACUGGAGGUAGUAUUCGGCUCCCCAGGCAACUUCCACAGUGAAGAAUUAAUCUUCGAUAUCGUCCCUUUCUGUAGUGGUUAUCACGCACUGCUCGGACGAAUUGCCUUCACUCACUUUAAUGCAGUCCCGCACUAUGCUUAUUUGAAGCUUAAGAUGUCUGGACCUCGCAACAUUAUUACAGUCAAUGGAAAUAUGGAGCGCUCCCUCCGUACUGAAGAACACACUGCGGCCCUUGCAGCCGAGGUGUAUGGCGGCCUUAUCAAAUCGAACAAUUCGUCGGACAUUAAAGCCAACAACAUUUCUAAACGAGUCCGGUCCACACAUCACUGUGAUAACUCAAUGAAUCCGGACCUCAAUUAGCAGUUCGGCCUCCGCCGACUGCCCCAUAAGGUUGCGGCUUACAUACCGCGUGCACAUAACUACGCACUCAAAAUACCUUGGGCAACAACGGAGGCACACUGCAGAAAAAGUCCAUAGUACGGCUUGACCCUAUUAGGACUGCAUACAUCUUCUUUCACUACAAGUUCAUUAAGAGCCCUAUUUUGUUGUAUGGUUGCAUCAGGGAUCCUUUCAAGGCUAGCGUCUCCCAUCUUUUUGGCCAACCAUCAAAUACUCCUAUCAAAGGACUUAUUAAUAAGGAGAAAUGGUACAGACGUGCAGCAGGGCAUCACUGGAGUCUUUGAACUAUUACCUUUAGGCCCGGUGUUAGACUUUCCCUUAUGUAAAUUUUUUUUAGGCAUGUAACAUGACCUUAAUAUUAAUGGCAUUGUCUGUCGAAACACGCCUCGACGUAUUGAUGAGGAUAUAAAGGAAAUAGACGAUCACCACCUUUAUGUUGGGUUCUUAUAUUAUCUUGCCGUCUGUAUUCCCUCCUUGCUUUCGAUUGACAUACGCGCUUCAGCACGACCUUCAUACCAGGGGCUGUAUUCGGCCCCGCAAAUUCUUAAAAGUCCGAACACCUAUAGGGAACUCUUGGGCGUCCCGGAUAUUGCACUAUAUGCAUCGGCUCCGAAUCAUGUCUUUGGUCUAUAGUUGGGUUGCCCGGCUCCUGUGCUUGCCACCUUACGUUCUGCAAGUUCGGCUAAGGUAGCAAAGGGAGAACUACUGCGAUUGUAUUUCUGGUUUGUCCGGUUACGUACCUCAGUAGAGCAAGCCGAAAACUGACUGUCAUGAUAUGCGAGAGCGGGUCAACAAUCCGGUGACUUAGUGUUAUACUACAAAUCAUUCGCGAUUUAUGCCGUGUUAUACGAGGGGCCGGGCUUUGACCAGCCGUGUUGCAAAGGCACCGUAAUUCGGAUUUCCGUUCAUGCAACAGGGGUUAGUACUUAGCACCACCAAUGGACUCUUAUGGCUAAGUGAAAGUGAUAAAGCCGCAUAGUCUGAUUGCCUUGUUCAUCUCGCAAGAUGCAUCCUACAUAGGACCAAGACGUUGGAUAAAGUGCGGACAUGCGUUCCCUAACACCCAUGUAAUAUUUACAUGGGGGCAGAAGCCGACGACUGGUAAACUUUCAGACUUAUAAAAUAAACGGCCAAACAGGAGGAUAAACAAACAAAAUCAUAAAGCGCAAGCAUAAAUAUUUCACAUUAUGAGUUCAUUACAUGGUUCUUACAAACUGGACUCCACUACUCAAAUAUGAUAUCCUUUGAGCACUGGCCCUCUACAACGCGGGAUCCCUCGAGGACCUCGCUGAAGUACUUCUCCGGCCGCCGGAGAUCCUUGCCUGCAUGUGGCCCUGCGGUGGCAAUUUUGGUGGCCUUCAUCUUCGCCCAUUGCACCUUGACUCGGGCGAAGGCCAUCCGGGCACCUUCUAUGUAGGCCGACAGCUUGAUGGUGUCGAUCUGAGGACACACAUCAACUAGCCGCUUCACGAACCCAAAGUAGCUGCUGGGUAUGGGCUUGGCUGGCCAAAGACAGACUAUUACAUCCUUCAUGGCCAGUCCGACCACCCUGUGCAGCUUGGUCAGCUGCUUCAGCUGAUUGCUGGGGGGCGCCGGAUGCUCUGGCGCAAGGUAUUGCAACCAGAAUAGCUUCUCCAUUGAGCUCCCCUCUUCAGCUCGGAAGAACUUUGCGGCGUCAACAACACUCCCCGGCAGAUCCGCAAACGCGCCUGGAGAACUCCAAAUUCAGGUCAGCAGGAUGUAUCUCUUGUAAAUUUACUCUGCAGAAGAAAGGCCUUACCAGCCGCUAUCUGCCUCACCUCCCGGAUCUCCUGGCGAGCGCCCUGGGCUUCAACCCAGGCUUCCUUCACGCUCUUGAGAGCUGUGGUGAGCUCGGAGGCUUGUUCCGAACUCUUCUACUCCAAGGACUCGCACUUGGCAAUGGCAUCCUUGAGCUCCUGUUCGACCUCGCCCACCCGCGCCUUGUGUUAUUCGCGGGCGGUUCGCUCCACCUCCAACUCCUUCGCCGCUUUGUCAGCGACCGCCCUGCUCACCUCCGCCUCUUUUUUGGCUUGGGCAAGGGCACUCUUGAGGGACUCGACCUCGGCUGCGCCAACUAUGAGUAUAGUCAUAAAACUUAGUAAAUUUCAAGAAUUAUCACACAUAUUACUUCGGGAAUGUACAAGUGCCGCAUACCUUGCGUUUCGUCAAACUGCUUGUUGACGCGGUCGAGCUCCUCAUUGGCUAGCCGAAGCUUCCGAUUGAGCUCGGUAACCUCUGCGGCUUGGGCAGUAGCCGCCAGCAUAGAUGCCUGUCCAACAAGAUAGCAUGAUACAUUAUCAACUUGUUUUGAUCCUCUGUCCGGAUUGUUCUAAUCCGGACAGAGUCUCAGGGGCUACUGUCUAUACAUGGGUUCAACUUUGCAUAAAAAAACUUGUAAGAGAAUUACAUCGCAUACCUCAAAGCCUGUCAGUAGGUUGUUGAAGGCUUCGUUCAGUCCACUUUUCGCGGACCGAACUUUCUCCAUAACUGCACCCAUCAGGGUGCGGUGCUCCUCCAUGAUGGAAGCACGUUGCAGUGCUUCCUCCAGAGUAUGAGCGGCCUCUGUAUUAACAGAGGCUGCCAAUGGAGCUGCUGCUCCUCCCCCCCUCUGUCGAAGGGGGGUGUUGGGCCAAACUCGGAGCCGCAUUGGUCUCCGGGACGGUGUUCGGCGCGGGCCUGAAUNNNNNNNNNNNNNNNNNNNNNNNNNNNNNNNNNNNNNNNNNNNNNNNNNNNNNNNNNNNNNNNNNNNNNNNNNNNNNNNNNNNNNNNNNNNNNNNNNNNNNNNNNNNNNNNNNNNNNNNNNNNNNNNNNNNNNNNNNNNNNNNNNNNNNNNNNNNNNNNNNNNNNNNNNNNNNNNNNNNNNNNNNNNNNNNNNNNNNNNNNNNNNNNNNNNNNNNNNNNNNNNNNNNNNNNNNNNNNNNNNNNNNNNNNNNNNNNNNNNNNNNNNNNNNNNNNNNNNNNNNNNNNNNNNNNNNNNNNNNNNNNNNNNNNNNNNNAAAUCUAUCCUUUUUCCCAAUUUUAGUUUUUGGCAGAUUUUAGCAACUUAGCACAAUUCAAGCAAUCUUAACACAAUUCAAGCAAUCAUGCAAAGAGUAUAUGAGCAGCGGAAAGUAAAGCAUGCAACUUGUAAGAAUGUAAAGGGAAGGGUUUGGAGAGUGCAAAUGCAAUAGGAGACACAUAUGUUUUUGUCGUGGUUCCGAUAGGUGGUGCUAUCGUACAUCCAUGUUGAUGGAGACUUCAACCCAUGAAGGGUAACGGCUGCGUGAGUCCACAGAGGGAUCCACACAUGAAGGGUCCAUCAAGAAGCAACUUCUCUAUCCCACCAUGGCCGUCGCCCACGAAGGACUUGUCUCACUAGGGGUAGAUCUUCACGAAGUAGGCGAUCUCCUUGCCCUUACAAACUCCUUGGUUCAACUCCACAAUCUUGUCGGAGGCUCCCAAGUGACACCUAGCCAAUCUAGGAGACACCACUCUCCAAGAAGUAACAAAUGGUGUGUUGAUGACAAACUCCUUGCUCUUGUGCUUCAAAUGAUAGUAUCCCCAACACUCAACUCUCUCUCACAGGAUUUGGAUUUUGUGGAAAGAAGAUUUGAGUGGAAAGCAACUUGGGGAAGGCUACAGAUCAAGAUUCAUAUGGUAGGAAUGGAAUAUCUUGGCCUCAACACAAGUGUAGGUGGUUCUCUCUCAGAAAAUGUAUGUUGGAAGUGUAGGCAUGUUCUGAUGGCUCUCUCCACGAAUGAAAAGUGGGUGGAGGGGUAUAUAUAGCCUCCACACAAAAUCUAACGUUACACACAACUUACCAAUCUCGAUGGGACCGAAUUGAGAAACUCGGUCGGACCAAUUCGGAAAAUAAUGUGACCGUUAGGAUUUUCGGUGGGACCGACAUGCAACUCGGUAGUACCGAUAUGGUUAGGGUUAGGGCAUAACGUAAUCUCGGUGAGACCGAUUACACAAACUCGGUGGGACCAAUUUUGGUAAAGGACACACAGAGGGUUGGUCAGGCAAACUCGAUGGGACCGAUUCGCUCAUCUCGGUAAGACCGAAACGUUACGAAAAGGAAACAGAGAGUUUGCAUUGUAAUCUCGGUGGGACCGAUCACUCAUCUUGGUUUGACCAAAACUUUACGAAGGGAAACAGAGAGAUUACAACCCCAUCCCGGUGAAACCGAGAUCCCUAUCGGUGAGACCGAUUUUCCUAGGGUUUGUAGCAGUGGCUAUGACAUCUGAACUCGGUGGCGCCGAAUAGGAAAAAUCGGUGGGGCCGAGUUGGACUUAUGGUUUGGGUCAUAUGUGGAUGUGAGAAAGUAGUUGAGGGCUUUGGAGCAUAUCACUAAGCACUUUGAGCAAGAAAGCCAUUAAGCAACACCUCAUCCCUCCUUGAUAGUAUUGGCUUUUCCUAUAGACUCAAUGUGAUCUUGGAUCACUAAAAUAGAAAAUGUAGAGUCUUGAGCUUUGAGCUUGAGCCAAUCCUUUUGUUCUUAGCAUUUUGAGGGAUCCACUUUUCUCAUCCAUGCCAUGCCAAUCAUUGAGCUUUCCUGAAAUAUUUAUCUUGAAGUAGCAUUAGCUCAAUGAGAUAUAUGUUGUUAGGAAUUACCAAAACCAUCCAGGGAUAGUUGCACUUUCAAUCCCCCUCUUUUUGGUAAUUGAUAACAACAUAUAGAUCAAAGCUUUGACAAAUGAUAAUAAUAUUGAAAAACAUUGUCGCUUUGAGAAGUAUGUGAGAAGUAAGAGCUCCCCCUAAAUUUGUGCAUUAUUUAAAAUUUUCUUUGGACUGCAAAUGCACAAUGAGUUAGGAUCAUGGCUUACUCUUCCAUGUCACAUACAUCUUGGUGGAGCGCUCAAAAUGAUAAUAAUUAAAUACAUGCACUCAUCACCAAGCAAAGUGAAUGAUCAUAUGAGAAUAUAAGAGAUAAUGUCAUCCAACAAGCAUUAAGGUAGCAUAUGAUCAAACACAUGAUCAUCCAAGUAUCUCACACAAGGCAUAGAGUAUCAAGCAAACAAGCAAAUAACGAAGUUCAACCACCAAAAAGACAAGAGAGACCAAACGCAACACUCUCUCUCGAAGCCUAUGAUCUAUACAUUUCUCCCCCUUUGGCAACAAGUUACCAAAAAGUUCAUAGAAAAUGCAUAGUGCUAAACGACUCUCAGGCUUGGUCUUCAUGUGAUGGUGUAGAGGUGGCUCCUUGGACAAAGACUUCUAUUGAUGUAGCUGGAGCUAGUGGAGAGGGUGCUGGAGCUGGAUGUACUGAAGCUAUAGCUGGUGCAGAUGAUGUAGCUCUGGUGUCUGGAAUAGGCACUGCAGCAGAUCUCUGUCCUCUGGGCACUCUAGCAAAAGCAUUAGUAGUUGACUUGCCCUUCUUCUCCUCCACAUCCUCCUGAAGUUGCUCAACUGCAGUUUGGAUCUCAGUGACUUUGACAUCAAGAGCAUAAAACUUUUGCUCUAUGAUUCUCUCCAAGCUCUCCUGGUUAUGAGUCAGGGUGGCCAAGCCCUUCUCAAUCCUCAGAGUGGAGGCAAUUAAGUAGCCAAGAUGAUCUUGCUUGCUCUUCAGGAAAAUCUGAGAUGCCUCGUCAGUAGUUGGCAUCUUUGCAGCCUUCUCAGCCCUUGCCUUCUCCUUCUUCUCUUGUGCUUGCGCAGAUGAUGGUUCAUUUUCAUCCAUGACAACGGUGUUGUCCUCAAAGUCAGGGUAGAUGGGCAGGUGUUCCUUGUCCAAGCGAUAUAUGCCAGUGCCCAUCUUGGAGUUUAUAUGCUCCUGAAUCUGUGGGGGCAUACCCACAACUCCUCUUCUGAUCAGCAGCAGUUGUUUUGAUUGUUUCCACAGUCAGGCUCAUGACUUUGAACUUCUGAGGCACAUCAAAUAUAUGAAGCAAGUUAAUUGCAUGGCCUCUGAUCAUCUUGUGAUCACCUGACUUGGGCAACAAAGUGUGCCUUAAGAUCCAGUUGAUAGUGGGCAGUCCUGACAACAGAUAAUGUACUGAUCCAAACUUGUGUGUCUCUAGUGCAGCAUCUGGGAUCUCUCUGUACAUGUGAGCCAUGGAGUUGUGAUAUUUCUUCUUCUUGGCGUAGACAUCCAAGUCAUCCUCGUUCUCCUUUGGAGCAUUGAUCAAUUCAGACCAUUCUUCAACUGUUGAUUGGUACCUUGUACCCUCAGACAUCCAGACUAUCCUCCCAUCUGGGUAGAAAUGAGCUGUGGAGUAGAACUGCAUAAUGAGCUCAUCAUUCCACUUUGUGAGCUUCUGCCCAAUAAAGUCUACUACUCCACAAGACUUGAAACUGUCAUAAACUCCAGGAUAGUGCUCUUCAUUCUUCUUGAUAUAGUCCUAGUCAACCCAUCUCAUAUCACAAACUAUGGGCUUCUUGUCAAGCAGCACUGUCUCAUAGAAAUCCUGCUGUUCCUUAGUAUGGAACCUGUAGUCCACAACAGUUCUUCUCCUGACAACGUAGGGGUCAGUCAGUCUCCACUGUCUAAGACAUGCAUCCUUCCUGAGCUUCAUGUCUUCUGCAACUGGGUGAGCAUCAUUAUGAUCUAGGAUCUUGGGUUUCAGCUUUCUCAAGAAAAGUGAGUCCUCAUCUUCUUCAUCAGCAGCUUCAGGCACUAGGGCCUUGUUCUUCUCUGCAGCUGGAAUACUCCUGGUGUUCCUCUUGGGUGUAGACUUGAGAUUAGGAGCAGCAGCCUUGGGAGCAUCUUUGGGCUUAGAUGGAGCAGCCCCUGAUCUUAUAGCAUCUCCCAUUAGCUUUUAAGCUUUAGGUGUUGGUGCAGCAACCUCUUCCUGUUCUUCUUCAGAGUCUCUCCUCAUAGAGGGCUUGCCAAGUACUUUGGCAGUAGUGGUUCUGAGUCUUUUCUUUUUCUUGUCUUGGCCAGCAGCUUCAUUAUCAGACUCAAUGGUGAACUUCAUGGUUUCACCAGUGGCAACCUUCCUAGGUUUGGAAGUGGGAAUCCUUCUUGCAGGUGCCUUCUUCUGCAUUCCUGGCUUAGUGGAUGCAGCUGAGCCAUAUUCCUUCUUCAACACUUUCUUCUUUGAGGUGGCCUCAUCCUCAAUAGCCACAUAGUCCUCAUCCUUAGAAUCUGAGGUCUUCUUCUUUCUGGCCCUGGUGACUACCUUUGGCAAGUUGCUGGGUGUGCUCCUGCUGCCAUCAUCAUAGCUGGUAGAGGGACUAGUGCCCACACUCAUCUGAACUUGCUCCUCAGACUUGUUCUGACUAUCACUCUGAUCUGACAUGGUGCAAACUCUGACAGCAGACCCUGUGAAUAGAUAUAGAUGAGGUAGAGUGGAUGAGCAUCACAAAGCACAGAGUUUUUUGCAAAAGAAUUUGAGUCAAAAACUUAGUUUUAGUUUUCCACAUAAAGCAUUUCAGAGCUACCGAUUUGUAAACUCGGUGAUACCAAAGCAGCUUUCGGAACCUAAACUAGUGAACUCCGUCAGACCGAGUCACAGUUCAGUGGCACCGAUACUGCUAGGAUUUCACAAAGUCCUGAAUUCGGUCACACCGAUUUGCAAUUCUCGGUCAGACCAAGAAACACAUGUGCAAUGGCCUGAGACAAAACAGUGGGACCAAUUUCUACAACUCGGUCAGUCCGAGAUGAGUUCGGCGGAAACCUAACCCUAAAUUUUCAAUCCAAAACUAAUCUACGGAGUGAUUUCGCUGGAUAGGAAGAUCUCAAUCGUGGCAAGAUACAUGGCAACACAAUGUGCUAGGAAUCGGAGUUGGGAAUAGCACAAAGAUUCAAAUCCAUACCCUAAUGCGGUGAUGGACUUGCUACGGCGGCAACGGCGGAGUAGUAUCCCGUUGACGGCGGCGGAGACCAGCGGCUGGAGGUCGCUGGCGAAGAGGAGGAUGAUCCGAAGACCCGAGGAGGCAGAGCAGGCUGUGCACGGGCGAAGAGGUUCGAAUUUUUUUCCAAAUUUUGGCUCGGGGGUAUAUAUAGCCUGACCCUGUCGGUGUGACCGAGUGGAACAACUCGGUGGCACCGAGAUGCAUAACUGCAAGCAGUUACUGCAACUCGGUGUGACCGAAAAGUUCAAAUCGGUUGCACCGAGAUUGAAAACCUAGAUCAACUUAGUGAUCUCGGUAUGACCGAAAUGGAUGGAUCGGUCAGACCGAAACGCACAAAGAGGUUUUGGAAGUUUAAGUCUAUGAUGAAUCGGGGACUCGGAGUGCUCCUCACAUAGAGUGGUUCUAAUCUGACUUGAUCAAAUUUUGUGAUGUAGCAUGAAUAGAGUUUGAGACAAGAAAAGCAUAGAUAGCUAGAGAAGGUUCUUAGGCAUUCUUGUCCAUCCACUUGGCAAAAGAAAAGAAACCAAACAAUCAAAACUACAAGUGGAUGUCCUCGAAUGAGUAAAAUAUGCAGCCAACAUGCUCACACAAUAAAAUGGCAAAUGAAAUAUGUGACAAAGCAUGCACAACCAUUCUAGCAUCUAUCAAGCAAUUGGCGAUGACUAGGUCACCUAUAUAUGAGUAUAUUGACUUAGGAGUCAAAUGAGAACAUUUGAUCAUAUGUCAUACUCAUCAUUUAAGCACAAGUGGGGUUACCGCUUUUACAUAAAGCAUUGUUGUGUUCAUGCCAUUAAAGUUGCUUUGGCUCAAUCCUUAGAGUAAAGCUCCCCUAGAUGUGAGAUCCCCCCUAAGAGGGAUGAACUAACCUUGGGUUUUGUCGAUGAUGACUUCAUGUAGGUGUUGAAAAUGUGGAUGCUCAAUGUUGAUGUAGAUCAUUUGGAGCAAUCCUUUGGAGUGAGUUGCACUUUCAAUACCUACACGGGUUAGUCCCACAAGGAACAAACAAGGAUAUCCAUAGACAUAGAGCGAUGCACACACAAUAUGAUGUCCAUGAAAGCAUUAGGUUACCUUGUCCCUUGUCUUACCAACAAGAGGGUUUGUGACUCCUUGAACUAGUGCAAGAUGUGGAAGUUGAUUGCACUUGUCCUUGCCAAAAUGAUAAGAGUGAAAUAUGUUGGCAGAGUCACCCUAAAAACCUCUCUAGUUCUUCUUGUUUGGGAUCCACAUCAUCUUGAUGGGAAUCCUUGGAGUUGUAGUUGUACUCGAUGAAGUAGAACUUGAUGUAGUCUUGGGAACCCACUUGACCAAGGCCUUAGGAGCUUCUUCAAAUGCAUCAAUCUCCUCUUGAAGCUUAUCCUUGCCUUUAUGCUUGUGGUCUUGUGGUGGAAGAUCAUCUUGAGCUUGUGUCCCUUUGAAAGAAGUAGGAUCAUACUUCUCUUGUUGAGGAACAAACUUCGUCUUGGGGUAUUGAUCUUCUUCCCACUCAACUCCAUUGGCAUUGAACUUUCGUUCAAAACCAACACCUUGGUUCUUCCGGUGCCUUCCUUGCUUGCGUACAAUUUCCUCGAAUUGCUUACUCCCGGCAAGGCUCUUGUAAACACCUUUCUCUAUAAUUCCCUUCAAUAAGCUAUUUUCUUGUUCAAGUGUAACUUGGCUAAGAGAUUCAUUAGUGGAAUCAAGAGAACUACUAGAAGCAACAACAUUGGAUUUAGCAUGAUUAUUGUUACUACUAGAGGAAGAAUCUUUCUUGUUCUUGUUACUAGACUUGACUUGAGGCAUGUAAGUAGAUAAGAGUAAACGCUUGGCAAUGUAAGAAGAACUUUUCUUGUGAAGAUCAUCAUUGAUUGCUUUUAAAAACUCAUGUUCUUGCUCAAGGUUAAGCUUUUCAAAGCGUAACUUCUCAUGAGUCCUUAAAAGUUCUCGAUGAUCUCCUAAGAUAGUUUCAUGAGCUAACUUAAGAGUGUUUAGUUCUUUAGUUAGGAGCUCAAUAUUCUCCUUAUCAUUGUCAUUCAUUUUAUCUUGAUUAGCAUGAUUAAUUGAUGUUUCAUCAUAGUAUUCAUCACUAGAGUUGUCAACAAGUAAAUCAUCAUCACCUAACAAGUCAUCUUCAUCACUAUUGAAAUGAACAUACUCGGGGUGUGAUACCUUUGGGCCUUUAGCCAUGAAGCAUCUUCCAAGUCCUUCAUUUGGUGAAUCAAAUAUGCCGUAGGAGUUGGUUGAUACAAGUGCUAGACCGGCAACACCUUCAUCUUGAGUAUAUUCAGAAUCGGAGUGAUAGUUUCUCUCAGAGUGAUUGUCGGAGUUGGAGCCGGAUACCCAUUCACCAACAUGAGCUUGAUGUCUUUGUUUUGUGUAGCUCCUUGAUGACUUGUCCUUCCUUUCCGAAUCCUUGCUUCUCCGGGAUGUUCUUCGUUCAUAAUGAUCAUAUCUACUCCUUCUCUCUCUUGAUGGUGAUUCUUCUCUUCUACUUCUUCUUUUUGGAGAAUCUUCUCUUCUUUUGUAGGGUGCCGUACACUCAUUGGAAUAGUGUCCGGGUCUUCCACAAUUGUAGCAAUUACGCUCACGACUAGAAGAUCUUUUGUCAUUGUAAGACCUUGACUUGGAACUUCUUUCCUUGCUUCUACUCUUGUAGAACUUGUUGAAGUUCUUCACCAUUAGGCUCAAUUCUUCAUUGAAGGUUUGUUUCUCACUUGAUGAUGUGGGAGCUUCACAUGAGGCUUUGUAAGAACCACUUGACUUGUUGUGGAGCUCCUCCUUAUCCUUGAGUGACAUCUCAUGAGCAACAAUUCUUCCAAUGACUUCCGUUGGCUUGAGAUCUUUGUAAUUGGGCAUCAUUUGGAUCAAUAUGCACACAGUAUCAUAUUUUCCGUCCAAAGCUCUUAGGAUCUUCUUGAUGAUGAAUUUGUCGGUCAUCUCUUCACUUCCUAAGAUGGCAAUCUCAUUUGUAAUAAGAGCAAGCCUAGAGUACAUUUCGGCGACGCCUUCACCAUCCUUCAUUUUGAACUUGUCAAGCUGACUUUGAAGCACAUCCAACUUGGAUUCCUUGACGGAAUCGGUACCUUCAUGCAUAUAAACCAAAGCAUCCCAAAUUUCCUUUGCAUUCUCAAGAUGGCUGAUUUUGUUGAAUUCUUCGGGGCACAAUCCGUUGAAGAGGAUAUCACAAGCUGGAGCAUUGUAUUACAACAUCUUCAACUCUUCCGCGGUAGCUUCACGGUUCGGUUCUCUCCCAUCAAAGAAUUCACCUUGCAAGCCAAUACACACAAUAGCCCAAACGGCGGGGUUAUGUCCAAGAAUAUGCAUUUUCAUCUUAUGCUUCCAACUAGCAAAAUUAGUACCAUCAAAGUAAGGACCUCUACGGUGGUAAUUUCCCUUGCUAGACGCCAUACUCUCCUAGGUUGUGAAACCAAGGCUAUGACCCCCAAAAGCUAUGAAGAUCAAAGCAAAUGGAGACCAAAGCUCUGAUACCACUCGUAGGAUCGAAAGUCUGUCUAGAGGGGUGGGGGUGAUUAGACUACUUGACCAAAUAAAAAUCUAUCCUCCCUGACAUUGCGCGGUCGAAGCUCGUCAUCCGUCAGAUGUCCCGCCUCCUGGGCAAGGUGGUGGUGGUCGAUGAGCUCUUGCUGCGCAAAGAGGAGGAGGUUCUGGUCAAGGUCAAGUGCCUCGACUCCUCCAAGCUCCGCACCAUCAUCCGCGUGUUCUUCAACGACCAGGGCUUCGACCUCAGGAUCUCCCCUGAGCCUCCCAACCACGUCGACCGCCCCUGCUCCUUGGACGCCGGCCUCCCGGGUGGCAACCCGGGGGCGGACGGCGACUUCCGCAGUCGCCACCAUGCUCGCUCGCAUCACUCUAAUGACGAGGGGGAUCGGAGGACUCCCGCUCCCCUUCCCCCUCGCCUCCGCCGCCGGCUGCCGGGGGCAAGGGUCACCAGGCUACUCCCCUCCUGGCGCUCGGCGACCCCCUGGUCCACACGGCAUCUUCCUCCGAGGAGAGCGACAUCUCCAGUGUCAACCUGGUCGUCUGCCCGGCUUCUUCCCAUGCUCCCCCUCUUCGGCAGAUCUCGUUUCACCGGGUCCGGAGCUGCCCCCCCUCCCGGCUGCCACUCCGGAUCCCGGUCAGCUGCUCCCCGUGCCGUCGGCUCCCCCUGAGGUGGCUGUAGCCCUGGGGCUCGACGCCCACCCCCCGGCGUCCCCCCUCGCUGCCGCUCAGCCUCCUCCCCCGAGGCACUCCCGCCUCUGCUGCUCCCUCCCUCAGCUCCGACCACGACACCGACCCUCCUCAGCUGCGCAGGGCCCGACCUUUUGGCCUCUCCCACUGGGGCCUUGACCUUGGAUGGGGAGGCCAGGGUGACCACCCCCAUGGCCGCCCAGCCACCCCCUCCUCGGUCUGCUGCCUACUCUCGCCGGGGCAGAUCGGCUUCCUCCCCAGUGACGGUGUCUCGUCAGAGUGCUCGGCUGGAUGCUGCUCAUCCCGAGGGCAGUCCGGCUCUGCCCAUCUCUGAGCAGGCGGAGAUCCGAGCCGCUGCUCGGAACCUGGAGCCAGGUACGCCCACCGUCCACCCCUCGGCGUCAUCUUGCUCCUUCUCUGCUCUCGAGUCGACCCCCCUUGGCAACCUUGCGAAGGUGGCCUCGGAUUCUGCGAUCAUUUUUCGGGGGGAAUCUGGCCCCCCCUUAGCCCAGAUUGCGGCAAUCUGUGCCCGUGAGAUCCUGGAUGGGGAGCUCGCGGAGGCCCGUGUGGCUCUCCUCUUGCCCCCUGUCCCUCCCCCCUCUGGGGAGAACUCUCUGCCGGCCGAGCCGCGGCAGAUCGGUCCUCCUCCCCCGAUGGGAGUGACCGAGAUCCGGGGCCGCACCCAUUCCUGCACUGCGGCUCUCCGGGCCCAAAGUGCCUCUCGUGUUCUGGGGUCAAGCAGCCCCCCAAUGGCUCCUUAAUGCGUGCUCUAUUCUGGAACAUCCGCGGUUUCGGCCAUGAUGGCCGACACCGCCAACUCAUCGAGUACAUGCGUGACGAACACAUUGACAUUGUCGCCAUCCAGGAGACCAUGCGACUUGAAUUCUCGCUUCCUGAGCUCGACCGCCUGAGCUCCCACCUCUUUGCGUGGCAUUGGCUCCCUUCUAGUGGGAACGCCGACCACUCGGGUGGCAUCCUUUUAGGCGUAAAGGAUGCCACCUUUGAGGUGGGCAGCAUGGACCGAGGGGAGUUCUUCGUGAGCAUGGAACUUUUCAAGAGGUCCCUCAACUUCAAGUGGGAGGUCAUCAUUGUCUACGGGCCCGCAAACCAUAGUCAGUCUGCUGCCUUUCUCGAGGAGCUCCACCGGAAGAUUUCCUCGGCCCCCCUCCCGGUGGUGGUUGGUGGCGAUUUUAACCUCCUCUGCGUGGUGGAGGACAAGAGCAAUGCCAAUGUCUGCUUUGCCCGGAUGUAGAUGUUCAAUGACUUCAUUGCCGACCUUGGCCUCCGUGAGAUUGACCGGAUUGGUGCCAGAUUCACCUGGACCAACCGGCAAGCCUCCCCGACCCAGUCCGUCCUGGACCGGGUCCUAGUGUCCCCGGAAUGGGACCUCCGUUGCCCCUUAGCCUCCCUCCGCGCCAUCACCAGGAUUGGCUCGGACCACGUCCCCCUUCUCCUCUCUUCUGCUGACGAGCGCCCUCCCGUCCCCCCCAGAUUCCGGUUCGAGACAUUCUGGCUCUCUCAAACCGGUUUCACUAAGGCGGUUGGCUCUCGGUGGAUCGAGGCUCGCUCCCAUCCCCACCCCCGCCCCCUCGGCCAUUGACUCGUGGCACUUCUGCACGAAGCGCGCCCGUCAGCUCAUGAAGGGGUGGGGGGCUAAUCUGGGGCGCGACCUUCGUGAGCGUAAGAAGUCAUUGUUAUCAGCAAUCCAGACCCUUGACAUGCGCGCUGAUACUGUUGGGCUUUCUCCAUAUGAGUGGCUGUCCCGGUACGACCUAGAAGACCAGCUCUCUGUGAUCUAUACCGAUGAGGAGGCCUAUUGGCGCCUCCGGGGGGCUCAGAAGUGGGUAUUGAAGGGCGACGCGAAUACGGCAUACUUCCAGGCCAUUGCCAAUGGCCGCCGUAGACGCAAUACCAUCCCCCUCUUGUGGGAGGGGGAGACACUUCUGCAGUCCCCCCACGACAUCCGGUCUCACGCCGACGGAUUCUAUAGAUCCUUGUUCUCAGCCGCUCCUCGGAGUGGCCUUUCUCUUGCCCAUGACUGUUGGGCCGGAUCCCGGUUGGUGUCUGAUGCGGAGAACUCGGCCCUAACGGCCCCUUUCUCCGAGCAGGAGGUUUGGGAGGCCAUUAAGGGCAUGAAUUCCUCCUCUGCACCGGGUCCGGAUGGCCUUCCUGUGAGAUUCUUCCAGGCCUUCUGGAACGUGAUUAAACCGGAGGUCAUGGCUAUCUUCGAUGAGUUCUACGUUGGCUCCAUUGACCUCGGGCGACUCAACUACGGGAUUAUCUCGCUCAUCCCGAAGGUUGCCGGGGCGUCUGACAUUCGUCAAUUUUGGCCGAUUACGGUCAUCAACGUCAUCUUCAGGAUCCUGGCUAAAGGGUACGCCAAUAGGGUGACCCUGCUGGCCGACCGUGUCAUGCACCCCAACCAGACGACUUUCAUUAAGGGCCGGUACAUCCUAGAUGUGGUCCUAGUCCUUCAUGAAGUCCUCCAUGAGGUCCGCUCCAAAAACCUCAAGGCGGUCUUCCUGAAGAUUGACUUUCAUAAAGCCUACGACACGGUUAGCUGGUCCUUCCUUAGGGAGGUCCUUCUUCGGAAGGGCUUUGACGACCGGUGGGUUACUCGUGUCAUGCAAAUGGUCACGUGCGGUCGUACGGUCGUGAACAUCAACGGCGAGAUUGGCCCCUUCUUCCCCACCCUAUGUGGGGUUAGACAAGGCGAUCCCUUCUCCCCGUUCUUGUUCAAUAUGGUCGUAGACGCGCUAGCAUCCAUCCUUGAUAAGGCAAAAGCCGCGGGCCAUAUUCGUGGGAUCACUCCCCACCUCGCCGGGGGCUCUAGGAUAUCCAUUCUCCAGUAUGCCGACGACACUAUCAUUAUGGUUGAAGGCUCGGAGAAUGAUAGCGCCAACCUCAAGUUCCUUCUCCUCUGCUUCCACCAGAUGUCGGGUCUCAAGAUCAAUUUCGACAAGAGCGAUGUGAUGGUGAUGGGAUACCCCCCUGCAGAGUCUUUGGCCAUCGCCAACAGGCUUAAUUGCCGCAUGGGCACUCUUCCCACUACUUACUUGGGAACGCCCAUUAGUGACUCCAGGCUUACCGUCCUGGACUUGCGCCCCUCAGUGGCCAAGCUGCAAACCCGCGUCGAACCCCGGCAGGGGCGGUGGUUAUUCCAAAGCAGCCAGGACUAUUCUCAUCAAUUCUUCUCUCUCCAGUCUCCUCUUGUUCCUAAUGAGCUUCUACAACCUCCACGAGACCCUCCACAAGGAGAUUGCCAAGAUCCAGUCCCGCUUUUACUGGGCGGCUGACAAGGAGAAGCAGAAAUACCAUAUGGUCAGCUGGCCUGACAUCUGCAAGCCCCGGGAGCAGGGGGGCAUUGGCAUCAUGUGCUCUAAACGGAUGAACAUUGCCCUCCUCUCCCGCUGGCUCUGGCGAAUCUCGCAGGGACAUGGUGGUCUUUGGCUUGACAUCCGGAACAAAUACCUGCAUGGGCAGCCUCUCGCCCUCUGCCAGAAGUCCGAAGGCUCUUAGUUCUGGUAGUGGAUCGUCCAGCUCCUUCCGGUCCUCCGUAUCGGGACAUCCAUCUCGGUGGGCGUGGGAUCUUCGACGCUGUUCUGGUUUGAUCGGUGGGCCAGGGACUCUCCCUUCGCAUCUCGCUUCCCUAGUCUCUUCUCCAUUGCCGUUGACCCCGUGAUCUCCGUUGAUAGGGCCCUUCUUGACUUAGGGCACCUUGCUUUCCGGCGGGCCUUUGGUCCAAUGGAAUCUGCCGCCUGGCGUGAGUUACUCGACUGUAUUGCUCUACACGAACCCUCGCUGGAUGGUGGGCCUGACCUAGUCCGGUGGCGCCUUGAACCUUCGGGCCAAUUCUCCACCAAAUAUCUCUACCUGGCCAUCGCACCAUCUGCCGCCCCUCUCCCUCUCUCGCUUGUCUGGUCCAUCGCUUGCCGCUGAAGAUCCGUAUCUUCAUGUGGCAAUGGAUUCGUGGCCGGAUCCCGUCCGGGGUGGAGGUUCUCAAGCGCAAUGGCCCGGGCACUGGCCUCUGCCCUCUCUGUGGGGUUCCCGAAGAUUUGAACCACAUUUUCUUCUCCUACGUGUCCGCCCAGUUCCUCUGGAGUUGUUUUCGCGAAGUGGUCGGCGGAAAUUGGUGCCACACCAACUUCCCUGACUUAUUUGACGAACUCCAGUCGUCCCCCGCGACUUCUCGCCACAUUAGGUGGCUUGAGAUUGGGGUCCUCGCCUGGACCCUCUGUACUGUUUGCAAUAAGCUCGUGAUUCAGCGCACUCCUCUUCGGCGAUCUACUGACGCGCUCUUUAAACUGUCGAGUUUUUUUGCAGCUUUGGCGGCCGCUUAGCCGUCCCCUGGACCGUGACGCCAUCUCAGCCUUCAUCGCCGACCUCCGAUCGAUGGCCGUCCGCCUGUCGCCGCCUCCCCCGCCGCCUCCGCCGGAGCCGGACUAGACGUCUCCUUCGCCCGGCAUUUGCUGCCUUUUUUUAUUUUUUGUUUGGGCUUGUUGAGCUGUGCCCUCAGCAGAACCUAUGUACUUGUUUGUGUGACUUGGGUGCGUGAGUGUGUAUGCACUUGACUCUGCUUGUUUGUCCUUGACGGUUUGCUUUAUUUAUAAAGCGGGGCGAAAGCCUUUUUUGGUAUCAUAUUUCUUGAGUUUAUCCAUCUACAUCAUGUCAUCUUGCUUAAUGCGUUACUCUGUUCUUAUGAACUCAAUACUCUAGAUGCAGGCAGGAGUCGGUCGAUGUGUGGAGUAAUAGUGGUAGAUGCAGGCAGGAGUCGGUCUACUUGUUACGGACGUGAUGCCUAUAUACAUGAUCAUGCCUAGAUAAUCUCAUAAUUAUUCGCUUUUCUAUCAAUUGCUCGACAGUAAUUUGUUCACCCACCGUAAUACUUAUGCUAUCUUGAGAGAAGCCACUAGUGAAACCUAUGGCCCCCGGGUCUAUCUCUUAUCAUAUUUGCUUCCAAUCUACCUUUAUUUGCAUCUUUACUUUUUUGCAUCUAUAUUAUAAAAUACCAAAAAUAUAUUUAUCUUAUCAUAUAGAUCUCACUUUCGCAAGUGGCCGUGAAGGGAUUGACAACCCCUUUCUUGCGUUGGUUGCGAAUUCUUUGUUUGUUUGUGUAGGUGCGUGGGACUUUUGAGGAGCCUCCUACUGGAUUGAUACCUUGGUUCUCAAAAACCGAGGGAAAUACUUACGCCACUAUUGUUGCAUCACCCUUUCCUCUUCAAGGAAAACCAACGCAAGCUCAAGACGUAGCAAGAAGGAUUUCUGGCGCCGUUGCCGGGGAGGUCUUCGCUCAAGUCAAGACAUACCAAGUACCCAUGACAAACCCAUCUCCCUCGCAUUUACAUUAUUUGCCAUUUGCCUCUCGUUUUCCUCUCUCCCACUUCACCCUUGCCGUUUUAUUUGGCCUCUCUUUCCCAAUCUUCUCCUCUCUCUUUCCGCUUGCCUUUUUCCAUUUGCCCGUGUGUUAGUUCUUUUACCUUGUCGUUAUGGCUAGCCCUCCUAUCCUUAUUCUCACGCCCGAACAAGAAAUUCUCAAUUUUAAGCAAAGGGAGGGAGAAAAUUUAAAAGAUGCUUGGCAUAGAAUUUUCAAUGCCCAAUAUAAAUCUACUAGGAAGCUUUCUACUUCCGUUCUUCUCCGCAAUUUUUAUGUAGGCAUCACUCCUUGGAAUAGAUGUGUUCUUGAUAUUGCUACCGGAGGUGAUUUCAUGAGUAGACAUACGUUUGAUGCUUAUAAUGCUAUGUUAGAUUUGUUUGGCCCGCCACCUCUUUUGAUCAAUGGAACUGUUUUAACUUUAGAACACGUUAUGCAACGGCUUGAGAUUAUUGAAAAUAAGAUUGCCACUGUUGAGUUGAUUGAAAACUUAGAUAAAAAGAUUCAUAAUCACAUCACCCAAUAUGGAUCUAGGGUUGGAGUUACUUUGAAAAAUCUUAAAGAAAAAGAACCUAUAGUCAAUGAAAAAAUAGAUCUAGACUCUGCUAGAAUUGGUAAACUUGAGGAUAUCAUUACAAAUUUAGGUUCCGCGUUUUCCUCCAUGAAAAACACUCCAAAACCGCCCACUAAAACUGCUAAUUUUAUUUAUGUUCCUAAAAAUAAGGGUGAAUCUUCUAGUAAGGGAGACGCGGAUCUCAAAUCCAUAAGUAUUCAUCCGAAUUGUCUCUCUCUAUUGUUAAGGAACCUUUUGCUACCAACGAAUUUCUUGAAUUUUUGCUAAAAAGGGAUAAACCUCAUAGGUCACAAGUGCUCUACUUAUGAAUUUAGUGCCAAAGAUGGUACUCGUUAGAUCUAUCUUCGCUUUUAUGCCUAGCUAGGGGCGUUAAACGAUAGCGCUAGUUGGGAGGCAACCCAAUUUUCUUUAUGUUUUUGUUUUUGUUCCUGUUUAGUAAUAAAUCUUGCAUCUACCUUCUGUUUAGAUGUGUUUUCAUCUUUUAUUAGUGUUUGGGCCAAGUAGAACCUAUAGGAUAACCUAUGAUGAUGGUUGAUUUGAUUCUGCUGAAAAACAGAAACUUUGCGCGCACGAAUUUAGUUUUGUUAAAUCACAGAAACGUGCUUUUGCAUUAAUUAUUUUUUCUGCUGAUCAAUAAACAAAUUUUCCAGGACUUCCUAUUUUGGUAGGAUUUUUAGAGUUCCAGAAGUUUGCGUUAGUUACAGAUUGCUACAGACUGUUCUGUUUUUGACAGAUUCUGUUUUUCGUGUGUUGUUUGCUUAUUUUGAUGCAUCUAUGGCCAAUAAAAUAGUUUAUAAACUAUAGAGAAGUUGGAAUACAGUAGGUUUAACACCAAAAUAAAUAAAUAAUGAGUUCAUUACAGUACCUUAUGUGGUGGUUUUGUUUUCUUUCACUAAUGGAGCUUAUAAGAUUUCCUGUUGAGUUUUGUGUUGUGAAGUUUUCAAGUUUUGGGUAAAGCUUUUAUGGACUAUGGAAUAAGGAGUGGCAAGAGCCUAAGCUUGGGGAUGCCCAAGGCACCCCAAGAUAUUCAAGAAUAGCCAAAAUCCUAAGCUUGGGGAUGCCCCGGGAAGGCAUCCCCUCUUUCGUCUUCGUUCAUUGGUAACUUUACUUGGAGCUAUAUUUUUAUUCGCCACAUGAUAUGUGUUUUGCUUGGAGCAUCGUGUAUUAUAUUAGUCUUUGCUUUUUAGUUUACCACAAUCAUCCUUGCUGUACACACCUUUUGGGAGAAGCCUAUGUGCUUCACUUAUAUCUUUUGAGCUUGAUAGUUUUUGCUCUAGUGCUUCACUUAUAUCUUUUAGAGCACGGCGGUGGCUUAUUUUUGAAGAAAUUGCUAGUCUCUCAUGCUUCACUUAUGUCUUUUUGAGAGUCUUUUAGAACAGCAUGGUAUUUGCUAUGGUUACAAAGUUGGUCCUAGAAUGAUGAGCAUCCAAGUUGGGUAUAAUAAAAACUAUAAUAGGAAGAGAAUUGGAUGCUAUGAUCAAUUUGAUGCUUGAUAAUUGUUUUGAGAUAUAAAGGUAGUAAUGUUAGGGUCAUGCUAGUGGGUAAUUAUGAAAUUGAGAAAUAAUUUUGUUGAAGUUGGCAAGUCCCGUAGCAUGCAUGUAUGGUAAAAGUUGUGUGACAAAUUUGUUGCAUGAGGUGCUCUUUUGAUUGUCUUCCUUAUGAGUGGCAGUCGGGGAAGAUACCCGCUUAGCAUGGAAGAUACCGACUACCUUUCGUUGUUCCAUGAACGAUCCAUGCACACAAAAAGGAUAUUUAUUUUAAGUUUUUAGAGGUCGCACAUGCAAAUUUACUUAGGGCGGCAGGGUAAUAACGCAUAUAGGUAGGUAUGGUGGACUCAUCUGGAAUAACUUAGAUUUCAGGUUUUUGAUGUACAAACAGAGUUCCCACUUAGUACAUGCGAAGGCUAGCAAAUAGGUUGAGGAGCGGCCAGCUAGAGAGCAACAAUGGUCAUGAACAUGCAUUAUGCAUAAGUAACAUUGGACACUAGCAUGAGUAGGAUAUGAACACCAUGAACAUAAAUAUCAUAGAGGCCAUGUUGGUUUUGAUUCAACUACAUGCAUGAACAUGUGCCAAGUCAAGCCACUCGAACAUUCAGAGGAGGAUACCAUAUCAUCAUACUACACCACAAUCAUUUUAACGCAAUGUUGAUAUCCAAGAUAAGCCAUUAUUCACUCCUAGAUACUUAUGCAUGGCAUGAAACUAUAAUAUCUAAUUGUCAUUGCAAACAUGUUUGAUCAUAAUAGGCUGAAGCAUGGAUACUCGGUGAUACCAAAGCAACUUUUGGAACCUAAACUAGUGAACUCCGUUAGACCGAGUCACAGUUCAGUGGCACCGAUACUGCUAGGAUUUCACAAAGUCCUGAAUUCGGUCACACCGAUUUGCAAUUCUCGGUAAGACCAAGAAACACAUGUGCAAUGGCCUGAGCCAAAACGGUGGGACCAAUUUCUACAACUCGGUCAGUCCGAGAUGAGUUCGACGGAAACCUAACCCUAAAUUUUCAAUCCAAAACUAAUCUAUGGAGUGAUUUCGCUGGAUAGGAAGAUCUCAAUCGUGGCAAGAUACAUGGCAACACAAUGUGCUAGGAAUCGGAGUUGGGAAUAGCACAAAGAUUCAAAUCCAUACUCUAAUGCGGCGAUGGACUUGCUACGGCGGCAACGGCGGAGUAGAAUCCCGUUGACGGCGGCGGAGACCAGCGGCUGGAGGUCGCUGGCGACGAGGAGGAUGAUUCGAAGACCCGAGGAGGCAGAGCAGGCUGUGCGCGGGCGAAGAGGUUCGAAUUUUUUUCCAAAUUUUGGCCCGGGGGUAUAUAUAGCCUGACCCUAUCGGUGUGACCGAGUGGAACAACUUGGUGGCACCGAGAUGCAUAACUGCAAGCAGUUACUGCAACUCGGUGUGACCGAAAAGUUCAAAUCGGUUGCACCGAGAUUGAAAACCUAGAUCAACUUAGUGAUCUCGGUAUGACCGAAAUGGAUGGAUCGGUCAGACCGAAACGCACAAAGAGGUUUUGGAAGUUUAAGUCUAUGAUGAAUCGGGGACUCGGAGUGCUCCUCACAUAGAGUGGUUCUAAUCUGACUUGAUCAAAUUUUGUGAUGUAGCAUGAAUAGAGUUUGAGACAAGAAAAGCAUAGAUAGCUAGAGAAUGUUCUUAGGCAUUCUUGUCCAUCCACUUGGCAAAAGAAAAGAAACCAAACAAUCAAAACUACAAGUGGAUGUCCUCGAAUGAGUAAAAUAUGCAGCCAACAUGCUCACACAAUGAAAUGGAAAAUGAAAUAUGUGACAAAGCAUGCACAACCAUUCUAGCAUCUAUCAAGCAAUUGGCGAUGACUAGGUCACCUAUAUAUGAGUAUAUUGACUUAGGAGUCAAAUGAGAACAUUUGAUCAUAUGUCAUACUCAUCAUUUAAGCACAAGUGGGGUUACCGCUUUUACAUAAAGCAUUGUUGUGUUCAUGCCAUUAAAGUUGCUUUGGCUCAAUCCUUAGAGUAAAGCUCCCCUAGAUGUGAGAUCCCCCCUAAGAGGGAUGAACUAACCUUGGGUUUUGUCGAUGACGACUUCAUGUAGGUUUUGAAGAUGUGGAUGCUCAAUGUUGAUGUAGAUCAUUUGGAGUAAUCCUUUGGAGUGAGUUGCACUUUCAAUACCUACACGGGUUAGUCCCAUAAGGAACAAACAAGGAUAUCCAUAGACAUAGAGCGAUGCACACACAAGAUGAUGUCCAUGAAAGCAUUAGGUUACCUUGUCCCUUGUCUUACCAACAAGAGGGUUUGUGACUCCUUGAACUAGUGCAAGAUGUGGAAGUUGAUUGCACUUGUCCUUGCCAAAAUGAUAAGAGUGAAAUAUGUUGGCAGAGUCACCCUAAAAAACUCUCUAGUUCUUCUUCUUUGGGAUCCACAUCAUCUUGAUGGGAAUCCUUGGAGUUGUAGUUGUACUCGAUGAAGUAGAACUUGAUGUAGUCUUGGGAACCCACUUGACCAAGGCCUUAGGAGCUUCUUCAAAUGCAUCAAUCUCCUCUUGAAGCUUAUCCUUGCCUUUAUGCUUGUGGUCUUGUGGUGGAAGAUCAUCUUGAGCUUGUGUCCCUUUGAAAGAAGUAGGAUCAUACUUCUCUUGUUGAGGAACAAACGUCGUCUUGGGGUAUUGAUCUUCUUCCCACUCAACUCCAUUGGCAUUGAACUUUCGUUCAAAACCAACACCUUGGUUCUUCUGGUGCCUUCCUUGCUUGCGUACAAUUUCCUCGAAUUGCUUACUCCCGGCAAGGCUCUUGUAAACACCUUUCUCUAUAAUUCCCUUCAAUAAGCUAUUUUCUUGCUCAAGUGUAACUUGGCUAAGAGAUUCAUUAGUGGAAUCAAGAGAACUACUAGAAGCAACAACAUUAGAUUUAGCAUGAUUAUUGUUACUACUAGAGGAAGAAUCUUUCUUGUUCUUGUUACUAGAUUGACUUGAGGCAUGUAAGUAGAUAAGAGUAAAUGCUUGGCAAUGUAAGAAGAACUUUUCUUGUGAAGAUGAUCAUUGAUUGCUUUUAAAAACUCAUGUUCUUGCUCAAGGUUAAGCUUUUCAAAGCGUAACUUCUCAUGAGUCCUUAAAAGUUCUCGAUGAUCUCCUAAGAUAGUUUCAUGAGCUAACUUAAGAGUGUUUAGUUCUUUAGUUAGGAGCUCAAUAUUCUCCUUAUCAUUGUCAUUCAUUUUAUCUUGAUUAGCAUGAUUAAUUGACAUUUCAUCAUAGUAUUCAUCACUAGAGUUGUCAACAAGUAAAUCAUCAUCACCUAACAAGUCAUCUUCAUCACUAUUGAAAUCAACAUACUCGGGGUGUGAUACCUUUGGGCCUUUAGCCAUGAAGCAUCUUCCAAGUCCUUCAUUUGGUGAAUCAAAUAUGUCGUAGGAGUUGGUUGAUGCAAGUGCUAGACCGGCAACACCUUCAUCUUGAGUAUAUUCAGAAUCGGAGUGAUAGUUUCUCUCAGAGUGAUUGUCGGAGUUGGAGCCGGAUACCCAUUCACCAACAUGAGCUUGAUGUCUUUGUUUUGUGUAGCUCCUUGAUGACUUGUCCUUCCUUUCCGAAUCCUUGCUUCUUCGGGAUGUUCAUCGUUCAUAACGAUCAUAUCUACUCCUUCUCUCUCUUGAUGGUGAUCCUUCUCUUCUACUUCUUCUUUUUGGAGAAUCUUCUCUUCUUUUGUAGGAUGCCGUACACUCAUUGGAAUAGUGUCCGGGUCUUCCACAAUUGUAGCAAUUACGCUCACAACUAGAAGAUCUUUUGUCAUUGUAAGACCUUGACUUGGAACUUCUUUCCUUGCUUCUACUCUUGUAGAACUUGUUGAAGUUCUUCACCAUUAGGCUCAAUUCUUCAUUGAAGGUUUGUUUCUCACUUGAUGAUGUGGGAGCUUCACAUGAGGCUUUGUAAGAACCACUUGACUUGUUGUGGAGCUCCUCCUUAUCCUUGAGUGACAUCUCAUGAGCAACAAUUCUUCCAAUGACUUCCGUUGGCUUGAGAUCUUUGUAAUUGGGCAUCAUUUGGAUCAAUGUGCACACAGUAUCAUAUUUUCCGUCCAAAGCUCUUAGGAUCUUCUUGAUGAUGAAUUUGUCGGUCAUCUCUUCACUUCCUAAGCUGGCAAUCUCAUUUGUAAUAAGAGCAAGCCUAGAGUACAUUUCGGCGACGCCUUCACCAUCCUUCAUUUUGAACUUGUCAAGCUGACUUUGAAGCACAUCCAACUUGGAUUCCUUGACGGAAUCAGUACCUUCAUGCAUAUCAAUCAAAGCAUCCCAAAUUUCCUUUGCAUUCUCAAGAUGACUGAUUUUGUUGAAUUCUUCGGGGCACAAUCCGUUGAAGAGGAUAUCACAAGCUUGAGCAUUGUAUUACAACAUCUUCAACUCUUCCGCGGUAGCUUCACGGUUCGGUUCUCUCCCAUCAAAGAAUUCACCUUGCAAGCCAAUACACACAAUAGCCCAAAUGGCGGGGUUAUGUGCAAGAAUAUGCAUUUUCAUCUUAUGCUUCCAACUAGCAAAAUUAGUACCAUCAAAGUAAGGACCUCUACGGUGGUAAUUUCCCUCGCUAGACGCCAUACUCACCUAGGUUGUGAAACCAAGGCUAUGACCACCAAAAGGUAUGAAGAUCAAAGCAAAUGGAGACCAAAGCUCUGAUACCACUCGUAGGAUCGAAAGUAUGUCUAGAGGGGUGGGGGUGAUUAGACUACUUGACCAAAUAAAAAUCUAUCCUUUUCCCAAUUUUAGUUCUUGGCAGAUUUUAGCAACUUAGCACAAUGCAAGCAAUCUUAACACAAUUCAAGCAAGCAUGCAAAGAGUAUAUGAGCAGCGGAAAGUAAAGCAUGCAACUUGCAAGAAUGUAAAGGGAAGGGUUUGGAGAGUGUAAACACAAUAGGAGACACAGAUGUUUUUGUCGUGGUUCCAAUAGGUGGUGCUAUCGUACAUCCAUGUUGAUGGAGACUUCAACCCACGAAGGGUAACGGCUGCGCGAGUCCACGGAGGGCUCCACCCACGAAGGGUCCACGAAGAAGCAACCUUGUCUAUACCACCAUGUCCGCCGCCCACGAAGGACUUGCCUCACUAGGGGUCGAUCUUCACGAAGUAGGCGAUCUCCUUGCCCUUACAAACUCCUUGGUUCAACUCCACAAUCUUGUUGGAGGCUCCCAAGUGACACCUAGCCAAUCUAGGAGACACCACUCUCCAAGAAGUAACAAAUGGUGUGUUGAUGAUGAACUCCUUGCUCUUGUGCUUCAAAUGAUAGUCUCCCCAACACUCAACUCUCUCUCACAUGAUUUGGAUUUGGUGAAAAGAAGAUUUGAGUGGAAAGCAACUUGGGGAAGGCUACAGAUCAAGAUUCAUAUGGUAGGAAUGGAAUAUCUUGUCCUCAACACAAGUGUGGGUGGUUCUCUCUCAGAAAAUGUAUGUUGGAAGUGUAGGCAUGUUCUGAUGGCUCUCUCCACGAAUGAAGAGUGGGUGGAGGGGUAUAUAUAGCCUCCACACAAAAUCUAACUGUUACACACAAAUUACCAAUCUCGAUGGGACCGAAUUGAGAAACUCGGUCGGACCGAUUCAGCAAAUAAUGUGACCGUUAGGACUUUCGGUGGGAUCGACAUGCAACUCGGUAGUACCGAUAUGGUUAGGGUUAGGGCAUAACGUAAUCUCGGUGAGACCGAUUACACAAACUCGGCGGGACCGAUUUUGGUAAAGAACACACAGAGGGUUGGUCAGGCAGACUCGGUGGGACCGAUUCGCUCAUCUCGGUAAGACCGGAACAUUACGAAAAGGAAAUAGAGAGUUUGCAUUGUAAUCUCGGCGUGACCGAUCGCUCAUCUCGGUUUGACCGAAACGUUACGAAGGGAAACAGAGAGAUUACAACCCCAUCUCAGUGAGACCGAGAUCCCUAUCGGUGAGACCGAUUUUCCUAGGGUUUGUGGCAGUGGCUAUGACAUCUGAACUCGGUGGCGCCGGACAGGAAAAAUCGGUGGGGCCAAGUUGGACUUAUGGUUUGGGUCAUAUGUGGAUGUGAAAAAGUAGUUGAGGGCUUUGGAGCAUAUCACUAAGCACUUUGAGCAAGAAAGCCAUUAAGCAACACCUCAUCCCUCCUUGAUAGUAUUGGCUUUCCUAUAGACUCAGUGUGAUCUUGGAUCACUAAAAUAGAAAAUGUAGAGUCUUGAGCUUUGAGCUUGAGCCAAUACUUUUGUCCUUAGCAUUUUGAGGGAUCCACUUUUCUCAUCCAUGCCAUGCCAAUCAUUGAGCUUUCCUGAAAUAUUUAUCUUGAAGUAGCAUUAGCUCAAUGAGAUAUAUGUUGUUAGGAAUUACCAAAACCACCCAGGGAUAGUUGCACUUUCUGGGUCACCGUGUCCCGCUCUUCGGCAUCCGAGGUAUUAUCCUCGGGCGCCUUCUGGACGGCCUCGUCCACCCCUCUCCGGCCAGGAGAGGUCCUUUGGGAUAACACCUCGAUGUCCUCCAUGGCAGGGGGGAGAGGGCUCGUGAUGGUCUGUUGCUCUCCGCCUCUCCAGGCGCCAGAGAAUUCCCCGACGAAGAUGCAGGAUAUUGCGCGGAGGGCUAAAAUACUAGCAAAGUUACAAUUUAUACAAAGGCGGGUAAACGGAAGCUGAACAAGUAAGGUUUUCGAUGCUUACAAUUCGGCCAGGGGCUUAACCCCGAGGGCUCUCCUUGGGCUGUGUUUGGACUCCGAGACCGAACAUACUGAGAGGGUAACCUUCUUCCUCUUUGGCGUUGCCUCCUCCGGAUCCUUGGAGGCUGUCCUCUUAUUCCUCCUCGUGAUGCGAGGGGAGUCGCUCUCCACUUCCUCCUCCUCCUCUUCGUCCUCGUCUUCCUCGUGAGAAGAGACGACGUCGAUCUCUUCGGAGACAACAUACGAAGACCUCUACAGCGGGGCCCGCCCUUGGGCUCCUUGCUCUUCUUCUCUGGCGCUUGGUAGGGUGUCGGGACCAGCAUCUCCUCCAGCUGAGGAGUGACUGGGUAUUCGGGCAAUGGAGCCAGACUUUUAAUCCGCUCCGCCUUCUUUGUCCAGCCCUGUAUAGAGGUGGCUGGAUUUGUAUUGAUCUAAUAUAUAGGCUGGACAUAUCUUUGGAAAAUUAACACUUACCGGAGUGGCCGGAUUCUCGGCAUCGAGACCGACGUCUUCGGUCUCCAUGGGCCAGCUCUUCUGUGCCUUGAAAAGUAGCUUCCACAUUCCCUCGUGCAUCGUGCCGAGGAGGUGCUGCAAAGUCCGCGACUCCUCUGGAUUGAACUCCCACAUGGGGGAAGUUCGGCGUUGGCAGGGGAGGAUGCGGCAAAAUAGCAUGAUCUGCACCACAUUGGUGACACUCAGCAUGUUGGUGAUACACGUCUGCAGCGUCUGCACCUCUGCCUGGGACCCCCAGCCGAGGCCCUUUGCGGUCCAGGAAAUGAGCGUCAUGGGGGGUCCGGAUCUGAACUCCGGAAUCAUCGCCCACUUGGUGCGGCGCGGCUCGGUGAUAUAAAACCACUCUUGUUUCCAGAUCUUGACGGUCUCAACGAAGGCCCCCUUGGGCCAUGUGGCAUUGGGCAGCUUGCUUAUCAUGGCCCCGCCGCAGCCCGCAUGUUGCCUGUCGACCACCUUCGGCUUCACAUUGAAGACUUUCAGCCAUAGGCCAAAGUGUGGGGGGAUGCGGAGUAGAGCCUCACAUACGACGAUAAACGCCGAGAUGUGGAGGAAAGAGUUUGGGGCUAGAUCAGGAAAAUCUAGCCCGUAAUAGAACAUGAGUCCACAGACGAAGGGGUGGAGUGGAAAACCUAACCCUCUAAGGAAAUGGGGGGAGAAAGACGACCCUUUCGCUGGGCUCCGAAGUGAGGAUGAUCUGACCCUUGGUGGGGAGCCUGUGCGCGAUGGUUGCGGCUAGGUAUCCCACACUCCGAAGAUCCUUUAUCUCCCUCUCCGUGACGGAGGAGGCCUCCCACUUGCCUUUGGAACCGGAUCAGGCCAUGGUCGGAGGUGGUGGUGGUGGUGAGGAAGACGAAAAAAUUUCGGGCGCUUAGAGCUUGGGAGAUUGGAAGGCUGAGGAGAUUGGAGGGCAUGGGGAAGAGAGGGGUAAUCCAUUGCCCUCUUAUAGGCGGUAAAAAUGCCAACGGUCCCCCCCACUUAUGCCUUGAAACUCGCCUGUUCCCAACGUAAGCAUGCGCCGUAAAUGGUUGGAUUACCCAAAUCUUAUUGAUGAGAAAUCCCGUAAUAAGUGGGCACGAUCUCUGUUUUGACAAGACGGGCCAAGGGGGCUUGGCCUCGGAACACGGAACACGGGGUGUGAAAACAGUUCAAAAUGCUGAAGGGUCAAGUCUGGCGCUUCGCCGGAAAAAGUUGUCAGUGAAGACACUGUUGCUAUUUUUUAUAUAUAUCCUGCCUUCACGGCUAAGGGUUGUGUUGAUUACGCAAGGCCAGAUACAGUAAUUUUAUGGAGGAAAGCUGAUGUGUAUUCUUGAUAACCCACAAGUAUAGGGGGUCGCAACAAUUUUCGAGGGUGGAGUAUUCAACCCAAAUUUAUAGAUUCGACACAAGGGGAGCCAAAGAAUAUUUUAAGGUAUUAGCAGCUGAGCUGUCAAUUCAACCACACCUGGAGAUUAAUUAUCUGCAGCAAAGUGAUUAGUAGCAGAGUAGUAUGAUAGUUUUGAUGAUAGCAGCAGUAGUAACGGUAGCAGUAACAGCGAUAGCAGUGAUAUUGUAGUAGUAACGAUAGCAGUAGCAAUAGUAGUAACUUAGCAAGAACAAUAUAAGAUAAAUUCAUAGGCAUUGGAUCGGUGACUCAUUGGAUGAUAUUCAUCAUGAGACAAUUAUAACCUAGGGUGAUACGGCACUAGCUCUAGUUCAUAAAUAUAAUGUAGGCAUGUAUUCUGUAAAUAGUCAUACGUGCUUAUGGAAAGAACUUGCAUGACAUCUUUUGUCCCACCCUCCCGUGGUAGUGGGGUCCUAUUGGAAACUAAGGGAUAUUAAGGCCUCCUUUUAAUAGAGAACCGAAACAAAGCAUUAGCACACGGUGAAUACAUGAACUCCUCAAACUACGGUCAUCAUCGAGAGUGGUCCCAACUAUUGUCACUCCGGGGUUGCCAGAUCAUAACACGUAGUAGGUGACUAUAACUUGCAAUAUCAGAUCUAGAGCAUGGAUAUAAUGGUGAUAACAUAAAUGGUUUAGAUAUGAAAUCAUGGCACCCGGGCCCAAAGUGACAAGCAUUAAGCAUGGCAAAGUCAUAGCAACAUCAAUCUCAGAAAAUAGUGGAUACUAGGGAUCAAGCCCUAACAAAACUAACUCGAUUACAUGAUGAAUCUCAUCCAACUCCUCACCGACUAGCGAGCCUACGAAGGCAUUACUCACUCCCGGUGGGGAGCAUUAUGAAAUUGGCAAUGGAGAUGUGUUGGUGAUGAUGAAGAUCGAAGAUGCCCCUGUCCGGAGCCCCAAUCGGACUCCAUAUCUGGCCUCCCGAUAAAGAACAGGAGACGGCGUCGGCUCCGUCUCGUGAAACGUGAUAAUUCUUUCUCCCUGAUUUUUUUUCCUGGAAAUAUGGGAUUUUAUAGCGUCGGUUUGAGGGUCAGCAAGGCCAGCAGGUGGGUGAUACGUCUCCAAUGUAUCUAUAAUUUUUGAUUGUUCCAUGCUAUUAUAUUACCCCUUUUGGAUGUUUAUGGGCUUUAUUUUGCACAUUUAUAUCAUUUUGGGACUAACCUACUAACCGGAGGCCCAGUCCGUAUUGCUGUUUUUUUACCUAUUUUAGUAUUUCAAAGAAAAGGAAUAUCAAACGGAGGCCAAACAAAAUGAAACCUUCGGGAGCGUGAUUUUUGGAACAAACGUGAUCCAGAGGACUUGGAGUGCAAGUCAAGAAGCAGCCGAGGCUCCCACAAGAUAGGAGGGCGCGCCCCCUUGUCUCGUGGGCCCCUCGGGCGUCCACCGACGUACUUCUUCCUCCUAUAUAAGCCUACGUACCCCGAAAACAUCCGGGGAGCAACCGAAACACAAUUUCCACCAGCGUAACCUUCUGUAUCCGCGAGAUCCCAUCUUGGAGCCUUCGCCGACGCUCCGCCGGAGGGGAAUCAACCAUGGAGGGCUUCUACAUCAACAUCCUUGCCCCUCCGAUGAGUUGUGAGUAGUUUACCACAGACCUACGGGUCGAUAGUUAUUAGCUAGAUGGCUUCUUCUCUCUUUUUGGAUCUCAAUACAAUGUUCUCCCCCUCUCUUGUGGAGAUCUAUUCGAUGUAAACUCUUUUUGUGGUGUGUUUGUCGAGAUCCGAUGAAUUAUGGGUUUAUGAUCAAGUUUAUCUAUGAAUAAUAUUUGAAUCUUCUCUGAAUUCUUUUAUGUAUGAUUGAGUUAUCUUUGCGAGUCUCUUCAAAUUAUCAGUUUGGUUUGGCCUACUAGAUUGAUCUUUCUUGCCAUGGGAGAAGUGCUUAGCUUUGAGUUAAAUCUUGUGGUGUCCUUACCUAGUGACAGAAAGGGUUGCAAGGCACGUAUUGUAUUGUUGCCAUCGAGGAUAACAAGAUGGGGUUUAUAUCAUAUUUCUGAGGCGAUGGAAGCGCGGGGCUGCUCUGGCGAUUUGGGCGACGGCGCCGGUGCGCCUCCCCUCCCCGAUGCUCCCUCCGCCACCGCUCCCCCCGAGCCGGCCGGGGUGACGCGGCCGGUGCUGCCCCCCACCCUGGCCGCUCCGGCGUUGGCCGGUUCCGCCACUCCCUCCCCGUCCCGCUUCUGCUGGGCGGACUGUGCGGAUGACCCGCCGUUCCCGCCGGCCGCCCCCCCCUCACCGCCCUUUCCGCCUUGGCCCCUCGCUGCGCCGUGGCGCCUCGCCGGGCUGGUGGCUCAGCCUCCCUCGUGCGGGGUUCUGUCGCUGCCUCGCGGGCUCCGCGGCCGCCGGCGACGCCCUCGGGCCGAUCUCGGUCGGACGGGGCCAAAGGCCUGGCCUUGGCUGGUGGUGCGCCUCGCCGCCGUCGCGGCCUCGCCUAGGGCGUGGCUGGCCGCUCCGACCGGGGGGCCGCCCGCUCCUCCUGGUGUCGCCCGUCGGCGGCGGUCCGGCCGCUGCCCCCCUGCCCUCCGCGGCCCUAUCUCCCCCUCCGGCCUCGGCGGCGCCCUCGAGAAGCUCCCCCUUCCGCCCCUUCAUAGCCUGCUUCGGGACGUCAGCCCUCCGGUUCUACGCGCCGCGCUCCCCCCGCGCCGUCUUGCUGGCUCUUGCCGGCGGCAGCGGCGGCGCCUGCCCUGGGAGCGGUCUCCCGUCAGGGGAGGGUGAGUGCCCGCCCAAUAGGCCAGGCCGCCUCGCCCGGGGAUCCUGGGCCCCGGCCCAUCCCUGCUCAAGGGCCCGUCCGAUGGCCUGCGCUCCCCUUCACUGGACUCCUUCUCGGUGGCUGGGCCGCAGGUUUGCCCUAGGCCUAGUAAGAUCAUACACUCGCUCUGCCUGCUAUACGGUCUUCCUCGGCCCCCAGCUCCCCCCGCAGCCGCCGCGUCUCGUCUCCCUGACCCGAUCCCCCUCGGCGUCGCCCCGAUCACUCCCGUCCCUGCCCCUCCCCCGGUCCGGCUCCUUCCCGGCCCUCUGGCGCCCUGUCCCUCCUCGCCGCCCGCGUCCCCCCUCACAGCCGCGUCCCCCCAUGCCGCGGGAGUGGGGCGAUGGGGCGGUCCUCGCCAAACGCCGGGUCGGCGAUCGCCAAGACUGCUCGCGGCCCUCCCCCGACUCCUUGCGGCGUGAAGAGGAGCUCCGUCGGGAGCUCCGGGAUCUGCGGGAGGGGCGCCGCUCUCCGUCCCGUCCCUCUCCGCCCCGCCGGGAGGGCCGGGGUCAUUCCCGCUCCCCUCGCCCGGCCACCUCGGGAGACUGGCGUGCGCGCCGGCACUCCCCGUCCCCUCCUCCUCGCCGGGGACACUCGCCCUCUCCUCCCCGGCCCGCGGGGCCUACCUCACCCCGCGCGUCGGCCCCAACGCCUUCCGAUGCUCCUCGCCGUUACGUGCCUCCCCAUGCGGCUUCGGCCGCACCCCCGGCCACGGUCUCGGGUGGUGGCACUGCUCGUGGACGUCUGGGUCCAGCAAAGAAGCAAAAGCGCCAGGGUGCCCGUGGUGCCCCUCCCGUGCCUCCCCCAGCGGCGCCGGGCUCCGCAUCCACCCCCGGGCCCGUCUCCGGCCUCCCCCGCCCCCCUGCUUCAACUGUGGAGUGGGGGGCCCCUCUCAGGUCAACUGCGUCAACCCCCAGUGCUGCUACCUCUGCAAGGACCCGGGACACCCCGCUCUCCUGUGCCCCGAUAGACCGAUGGUGUCGGAGCUCAUGAUGUACGGCCAUGGCAUCGAGGGAUUGGGCUUCUUCCACCUUGAGGUCCCUGAUGUCCAGCCGCCUUCGCCGACCCUCCAGGCGGUCGUCACUGUGGUGGAGGGGGUGGCCUCCCCCGAGAUGAUUGAGCGGAGCUGAACCACCUCUACCGCCGCCAGUGGGACUGGGUGGUCACCCUUUCCGCUGGCCACAUCUUCACCGUCGUCUUCCCCGACUCUGUCAGCUACGGCUACGCGACCCGCAGUGGCCGGAUCACGCUCGCCCUCAACCAGCUGGUCGUCGACAUCUCUGACCGAUUCUUGAUGCCCAGGCGGUGGCCGUUCUUGACACCGCUUGGAUCCUUGUCGCCGGCCUCCCUGACAUUGCGCGGUCGAAGCUCGUCAUCCGCCAGAUGUCCCGCCUCCUGGGCAAGGUGGUGGUGGUCGAUGAGCUCUCGCUGCGCAAAGAGGAGGAGGUUUUGGUCAAGGUCAAGUGCCUCGACUCCUCCAAGCUCCGCACCAUCGUCCGCGUGUUCUUCAACGACCAGGGCUUCGACCUCAGGAUCUCCCCUGAGCCUCCCAACCACGUCGGCCGCCCCCGCUCCUUGGACGCCGGCCUCCCGGGUGGCAACCCAGGGGCGGACGGCGACUUCCGUGGUCGCCACCAUGCUCGCUCGCAUCACUUUGAUGAUGAGGGGGGAUCAGAGGACUCCCGCUCCCCUUCCCCCUCGCCUCCGCCGCCGGCUGCCGGGGGCAAGGGUCGCCAGGCUGCUCCCCUCCUAGCGCUCGGUGACCCCCUGGUCCACAUGGCAUCUUCCUCCGAGGAGAGCGACAUCUCUAGUGUCGGCCUGGUCGUCUGCCCGGCUUCUUCCCCACGCUCCCCCUCUUCGGCAGAUCUCGUUUCACCGGGUCCGGAGCUGGCCCCCCUCCCGGCUGCCACUCUGGAUCCCGGUCAGCUGCUCCCCGCGCCGUCGGCUCCCCCUAAGGUGGCUGUAGCCCUGGGGCUCGACGCCCACCCCCCGGCGUCCCCCCUCGUGACCGCUCAGCCUCCUCCCCCCGAGGCACUCCCGCCUCUGCUGCUCCCUCCCUCAGCUCCGACCACGACACCGACCCUCCUCAGCUACGCAGGGCCCAACCUUCUGGCCUCUCCCGCUGGGGCCUUGACCUUGGAUGGGGAGGCCAGGGUGACCACCCCCGUGGCCGCCCAGCCACCCCCUCCUCGGUCUGCUGCCUACUCUCGCCGGGGCAGAUCGGCUUCCUCCCCGGUGACGGCGUCUCGUCGGAGUGCUCGGCUGGAUGCUGCUCAUCCCGAGGGCAGUCCGGCUCUGCCCAUCUCUGAGCGGGCGGAGAUCCGGGCCGCUGCUCGGAACCUGGAGCCAGGUAUGCCCACCGUCCCCCCUCGGCGUCAUCUUGCUCCUUCUCUGCUCUCGAGUCGAUCCCCCUUGGCAACCUUGUGAAGGUGGACUCGGAUUCUGCGAUCAUUUUUCGGGGGGAAUCUGGCCCCCCUUAGCCCAGAUUGCGGCGAUCUGCGCCCGUGAGAUCCUGGAUGGGGAGCUCGCGGAGGCCCGUGCGGCUCUCGUCUUGCCCCCUGUCCCUCCCCCCUCCAGGGAGAACUCUCUGCCGGCCGAGCCGCGGCAGAUCGGUCCUCCUCCCCCGAUGGGAGUGACCGAGAUCCGGGGCCGCACCCGUUCCCGCACUGCGGCUCUCCGGGACCAAAGUGCCUCUCGUGUUCUGGGGUCAAGCAGCCCCCAAUGGCUCCUUAAUGCGUGCUCUAUUCUGGAACAUCCGCGGUUUCGUCCAUGAUGGCCGACGCCGCCAACUCAUCGAGUACAUGCGUGACGAACACAUUGACAUUGUCGCCAUCCAGGAGACCAUGCGACUUGAAUUCUCGCUUCCUGAGCUCGACCGCCUGAGCUCCCACCUCUUUGCGUGGCAUUGGCUCCCUUCUAGUGGGAACGCCGGCCACUCGGGUGGCAUCCUUUUAGACGUAAAGGAUGCCACCUUUGAGGUGGGCAGCAUGGACCAGGGGGAGUUCUUCGUGAGCAUGGAACUUUUCGAGAGGUCCCUCAACUUCAAGUGGAGGUCAUCAUUGUCUACGGGCCUGCAGACCAAAGUCAGUAUGCCGCCUUUCUCGAGGAGCUCCACCGGAAGAAUUCCUCGGCCCCCCUCCCGGUGGUGGUUGGUGGCGAUUUUAACCUCCUCCGCGUGGUGGAGGACAAGAGCAAUGCCAAUGUCUGCUUUACCCGGAUGCAGAUGUUCAAUGACUUCAUUGCCGACCUUGGCCUCCGUAAGAUUGACCGGAUUGGUGCCAGAUUUACCUGGAGCAACCGGCAAGCCUCCCCGAUCCAGUCCGUCCUGGACCGGGUCCUAGUGUCCUCGGAAUGGGACCUCCGUUGCCCCUUAGCUUCCCUCCACGCCAUCACCAGGAUUGGCUCGGACCACGUCCCCCUUCUCCUCUCUUUUGCUGACGAGCGCCCUCCCGUCCCCCCCAGAUUCUGGUUCGAGACAUUCUGGCUCUCUCAAACCGGUUUCACUAAGGUGGUUGGCUCUCGGUGGAUCGAGGCUCGCUCCCAUCCCCACCCCCACCCCCCUCGGCCAUUGACUCGUGGCACUUCUGUGCGAAGCGCGCCCGUCAGCUCAUGAAGGGGUGGGGGGAUAAUCUGGGGCGCGACCUUCGUGAGCGUAAGAAGUCAUUGUUAUCAGCAAUCCAGACCCUUGACCUGCGCGCUGAUACUGUUGGGCUUUCUCCAGAUGAGUGGCUGUCCCGGUACGACCUCGAAAACCAGCUCUCCGUGAUCUAUACCGAUGAGGAGGCCUAUUGGCGCCUCCGGGGGGCUCAGAAGUGGGUAUUGAAAGGCGACGCGAAUACGACAUACUUCCAGGCCAUUACCAAUGGCCGCCGUAGACGCAAUACCAUCCCCCUCUUGUGGGAGGGGGAGACACUUCUGCAGUCCCCCCACGACAUCCGGUCUCACGUCGACGGAUUCUAUAGAUCCUUGUUCUCAGCUGCUCCUCGGAGCGGCCUUUAUCUUGCCCACGACUGUUGGGCCGGAUCCCAGUUGGUGUCUGAUGUGGAGAACUCGGCCCUAACGGCCCCUUUCUCCGAGUAGGAGGUUUGGGAGGCCAUUAAGGGCAUGAAUUCCUCCUCUGCACCGGGUCCGGAUGGCCUUCCUGUGAGAUUCUUCCAGGCCUUCUGGAACGUGAUUAAACCGGAGGUCAUGGCUAUCUUCGAUGAGUUCUACGUUGGCUCCAUUGACCUCGGGCGACUCAACUACGGGAUUAUCUCGCUCAUCCCGAAGGUUGCCGGGGCGUCUGACAUUCGUCAAUUUCGGCCGAUUACGGUCAUCAACAUCAUCUUCGGGAUCCUGGCUAAAGGGUACGCCAAUAGGGUGACCUUGCUGGCCGACCGUGUCACGCACCCCAACUAGACGGCUUUCAUUAAGGGCCGGUACAUCCUGGAUGGGGUCCUAGUCCUUCAUGAAGUCCUCCAUGAGGUCCGCUCCAAAAACCUCAAGGCGGUCUUCCUGAAGAUUGACUUUCAUAAAGCCUAUGAUACGGUUAGCUGGUCCUUCCUUAGGGAGGUCCUUCUUCGGAAGGGCUUUGACGACCGGUGGGUUACUCGUGUCAUGCAAAUGGUCACGUGCGGUCGUACGGCCGUGAACAUCAACGGCGAGAUUGGCCCCUUCUUCCCUACCCUAUGUGGGGUUAGACAAGGCGAUCCCUUCUCCCCGUUCUUGUUCAAUAUGGUCGUAGACGCGCUAGCAUCCAUCCUUGAUAAGGCGAAAGCCGCGGGCCAUAUUCGUGGGAUCACUCCCCACCUCGCCGGGGGCUCUGGGAUAUCCAUUCUCCAGUAUGCCGACGACACUAUCAUUAUGGUUGAAGGCUUGAAGAACGAUAGCACCAACCUCAAGUUCCUUCUCCUCUGCUUCCAGCAGAUGUCGGGUCUCAAGAUCAAUUUUGACAAGAGCGAUGUGAUGGUGAUGGUAUACCCCCCUGCCGAGUCUUUGGCCAUCGCCAACAGGCUUAAUUGCCGCAUGGGCACUUUUCCCACUACUUACUUGGGAACUUAAUCGUGUCGUGGACUUGCCGUCGUGGACUUGCACCCCUCAUUGGCCAAGCUGCAAACCCGCGUCGAACCCUGGCAGGGGCGGUGGUUGUCCAAAGUAGCCAGGACUAUUCUCAUCAAUUCUUCUCUCUCCAGUCUCCUCUUGUUCCUAAUGAGCUUCUACAGCCUCCACGAGACCCUCCACAAGGAGAUUGCCAAGAUCCAGUCCCGCUUUUACUGGGCGGCUGACAAGGAGAAGCAGAAAUACCAUAUGGUCAGCUGGCCUGACAUCUGCAAGCCCCGGGAGCAAGGGGGCAUUGGCAUCAUGUGCUCUAAACGGAUGAACAUUGCCCUCCUCUCCGUUGGCUCUGGCGAAUCUCGCAGGGACAUGGUGGUCUUUGGCUUGACAUCAUCCGGAACAAAUACCUGCGUGGGCAGCCUCUCGCCUUCUGCUAGAAGUCCGGAGGCUCUCAGUUCUGGCAGUCGAUCAUCCAGCUCCUUCCGGUCCUCCGUAUCGGGACAUCCAUCUCGGUGGGCGCGGGAUCUUCGACGCUGUUCUGGUUUGAUCGGUGGGCCGGGGACUCUCCCUUCGCGUCUCGCUUCCCUGGUCUCUUCUCCAUUGCCGUUGACCCUGUGAUCUCCAUUGAUAGGGCCCUUCUUGACUUAGGGCGCCUUGCUUUCCAGCGGGCCUUUGGUCCAAUGGAAUCCACCGCCUGGCGUGAGUUACUCGACUGUAUUGCUCUACACGAACCCUCGCUGGAUGGUGGGCCUGACCUAUUCCAGUGGCGCCUUGAACCUUCGGGCCAAUUCUCCACCAAAUCUCUCUACCUGGCCAUCGCACCAUCUGCCGCCCCUCUCCCUCUCUUGCUUGUCUGGUCCAUCCGCUUGCCGCUGAAGAUCCGUAUCUUCAUGUGGCAAUGGAUUCAUGGCCGGAUCCCGUCCGGGGUGGAGGUUCUCAAGCGCAAUGGCCCGGGCACUGUCCUCUGCCCUCUCUGCGGGGUUCCCAAAGAUUUGAACCACAUUUUCUUCUCCUACGUGUCCGCCCAGUUCCUCUGGAGUUGUUUUCGCGAAGUGGUCGGCGGAAAUUGGUGCCACACCAACUUCCCUGACUUAUUUGACGAACUCCAGUCGUCCCCCGCGACUUCUCGCCACAUUAGGUGGCUUGAGAUUGGGGUCCUCGCCUGGACCCUCUGUACUAUUCGCAAUAAGCUCGUGAUUCAGCGCACUCCUCUUCGGCGAUCUACUGACGCGCUCUUUAAACUCUCGAGUUUUUUGCAGCUUUGGCGGCCACUUAGCCGUCCCCUGGACCGUGACGCCAUCUCAGCCUUCAUCGCCGACCUCCGAUCGAUGGUCGUCCGCCUGUCGCCGCCUCCCCCGCCGCCUCCGCCGGAGCCAGACUAGACGUCUCCUUCGCCCGGCAUUUGCUGCCUUUUUUAUUUUUUGUUUGGGCUUGUUGAGCUAUGCCCUCAGCAGAACCUAUGUACUUGUUCGUGUGACUUGGGUGCGUGAGUGUGUAUGCACUUGACUCUGCUUAUUUGUCCUUGACGGUUUGCUUUAUUUAUAAAGCGGGGUGAAAGCCUUUUUUGAUAUCAUAUUUCUUGAGUUUAUCCGUCUACAUCAUGUCAUCUUGCUUAAUGCGUUACUCUGUUCUUAUGAACUUAAUACUCUAGAUGCAGGCAGGAGCCGGUCGAUGUGUGGAGUAAUAGUGGUAGAUGCAGUCAGGAGUCGGUCUACUUGUUACGGACGUGAUGCCUAUAUACAUGAUCAUGCCUAGAUAAUCUCAUAAUUAUUCGCUUUUCUAUCAAUUGCUCGACAGUAAUUUGUUCACCCACCGUAAUACUUAUGCUAUCUUGAGAGAAGCCACUAGUGAAACCUAUGGCCCCCGGGUCUAUCUCUUAUCAUAUUUGCUUCCAAUCUACCUUUAUUUGCAUCUUUACUUUUUUGCAUCUAUAUUAUAAAAUACCAAAAAAUAUAUUUAUCUUAUCAUACUAUCUUUAUUAGAUCUCACUUUCGCAAGUGGCCGUGAAGGGAUUGACAACCCCUUUAUUGCGUUGGUUGCGAGUUCUUUGUUUGUUUGUGUAGGUGCGGGGGAAUUUUGAGGAGCCUCCUACUGGAUUGAUACCUUGGUUCUCAAAAACUGAGGGAAAUACUUACGCUACUAUUGUUGCAUCACCCUUUCCUCUUCAAGGAAAACCAACGCAAGCUCAAGACGUAGCAAGAAGGAUUUCUGGCGCCGUUGCCGGGGAGGUCUUCGCUCAAGUCAAGACAUACCAAGUACCCAUGACAAACCCAUCUCCCUCGCAUUUACAUUAUUUGCCAUUUGCCUCUCGUUUUCCUCUCUCCCACUUCACCCUUGCCGUUUUAUUUGGCCUCUCUUUCCCAAUCUUCUCCUCUCUCUUUCUGCUUGCCUUUUUCCAUUUGCCCGUGUGUUAGUUCUUUUACCUUGUCAUUAUGGCUAGUCCUCCUAUCCUUAUUCUCACGCCCGAACAAGAAAUUCUCAAUUUUAAGCAAAGGGAGGGAGAAAAUUUAAAAGAUGCUUGGCAUAGAAUUUUCAAUGCCCAAUAUAAAUCUAUUAGGCAUCUUUCUACUUCCGUUCUUCUCCGCAAUUUUUAUGUAGGCAUCACUCCUUGGAAUAGAUGUGUUCUUGAUAUUGCUACCGAAGGUGAUUUCAUGAGUAGCCAUACGUUUGAUGCUUAUAAUGCUAUGUUAGAUUUGUUUGGCCCGCCACCUCUUUUGAUCAAUGGAACUGUUUUAACUUUAGAACAUGUUAUGCAACGGCUUGAGAUUAUUGAAAAUAAGAUUGCCACUGUUGAGUUGAUUGAAAACUUAGAUAAAAAGAUUCAUAAUCACAUCACCCAAUAUGGAUCUAGGGUUGGAGUUACUUUGAAAAAUCUUAAAUAAAAAGAACCUAUAGUCAAUGAAAAAAUAGAUCUAGACUCUGCUAGAAUUGGUAAACUUGAGGAUAUCAUUACAAAUUUAGGUUCCGCAUUUUCCUCCAUGAAAAACACUCCAAAACCCCCCACUAAAACUGCCAAUUUUAUUUAUGUUCCUAAAAAUAAGGGUGAAUCUUCUAGUAAGGGAGACGCGGAUCUCAAAUCCAUAAGUAUUCAUCCCAAUUGUCUCUCUCUAUUGUUAAGGAACCUUUUGCUACCAACGAAUUUCUUGAAUUUUUGCUAAAAAGGGAUAAACCCUCAUAGGUCACAAGUGCUCUACUUAUGAAUUUAGUGCCAAAGAUGGCACUCGUUAGAUCUAUCUUCGCUUUUAUGCCUAGCUAGGGGCGUUAAACGAUAGCGCUAGUUGGGAGGCAACCCAAUUUUCUUUAUGUUUUUUGUUUUUGUUCCUGUUUAGUAAUAAAUCUUGCAUCUAACUUCUGUUUAGAUGUGUUUUUAUCUUUUAAUUAGUGUUUGUGCCAAGUAGAACCUAUAGGAUAACCUAUGAUGAUGGUUGAUUUGAUUCUGCUGAAAAACAGAAACUUUGCGCGCACGAAUUUAGUUUUGUUAAAUCACAGAAACGUGCUUUUGCAUUAAUUAUUUUUUCUGCUGAUCAAUAAACAAAUUUUCCAGGACUUCCUAUUUUGGUAGGAUUUUUAGAGUUCCAGAAGUUUGCAUUAGUUACAGAUUGCUACAGACUGUUCUGUUUUUGACAGAUUCUGUUUUUCGUGUGUUGUUUGCUUAUUUUGAUGCAUCUAUGGCCAAUAAAAUAGUUUAUAAACUAUAGAUAAGUUGGAAUACAGUAGGUUUAACACCAAAAUAAAUAAAUAAUGAGUUCAUUACAGUACCUUAUGUGGUGGUUUUGUUUUCUUUCACUAAUGGAGCUUAUAAGAUUUCCUGUUGAGUUUUGUGUUGUGAAGUUUUCAAGUUUUGGGUAAAGCUUUUAUGGACUAUGGAAUAAGGAGUGGCAAGAGCCUAAGCUUGGGGAUGCCCAAGGCACCCCAAGAUAUUCAAGAAUAGCCAAAAGCCUAAGCUUGGGGAUGCCCCGGGAAGGCAUCCCCUCUUUCGUCUUCGUUCAUUGGUAACUUUACUUGGAGCUAUAUUUUUAUUCGCCACAUGAUAUGUGUUUUGCUUGGAGCAUCGUGUAUUAUAUUAGUCUUUGCUUUUUAGUUUACCACAAUCAUCCUUGCUGUACACACCUUUUGGGAGAAGCCUAUGUGCUUCACUUAUAUCUUUUGAGCUUGAUAGUUUUUGCUCUAGUGCUUCACUUAUAUCUUUUAGAGCACGGCGGUGGCUUAUUUUUGAAGAAAUUGCUAGUCUCUCAUGCUUCACUUAUGUCUUUUUGAGAGUCUUUUAGAACAGCAUGGUAUUUGCUAUGGUUACAAAGUUGGUCCUAGAAUGAUGAGCAUCCAAGUUGGGUAUAAUAAAAACUAUCAUAGGAAGAGAAUUGGAUGCUAUGAUCAAUUUGAUGCUUGAUAAUUGUUUUGAGAUAUAAAGGUAGUAAUGUUAGGGUCAUGCUAGUGGGUAAUUAUGAAAUUGAGAAAUAAUUUUGUUGAAGUUGGCAAGUCCCGUAGCAUGCAUGUAUGGUAAAAGUUGUGUGACAAAUUUGUUGCAUGAGGUGCUCUUUUGAUUGUCUUCCUUAUGAGUGGCAGUCGGGGAAGAUACCCGCUUAGCAUGGAAGAUACCGACUACCUUUCGUUGUUCCAUGAACGAUCCAUGCACACAAAAAGGAUAUUUAUUUUAAGUUUUUAGAGGUCGCACAUGCAAAUUUACUUAGGGCGGCAGGGUAAUAACGCAUAUAGGUAGGUAUGGUGGACUCAUCUGGAAUAACUUAGAUUUCAGGUUUUUGAUGUACAAACAGAGUUCCCACUUAGUACAUGCGAAGGCUAGCAAAUAGGUUGAGGAGCGGCCAGCUAGAGAGCAACAAUGGUCAUGAACAUGCAUUAUGCAUAAGUAACAUUGGACACUAGCAUGAGUAGGAUAUGAACACCAUGAACAUAAAUAUCAUAGAGGCCAUGUUGGUUUUGAUUCAACUACAUGCAUGAACAUGUGCCAAGUCAAGCCACUCGAACAUUCAGAGGAGGAUACCAUAUCAUCAUACUACACCACAAUCAUUUUAACGCAAUGUUGAUAUCCAAGAUAAGCCAUUAUUCACUCCUAGCUACUUAUGCAUGGCAUGAAACUAUAAUAUCUAAUUGUCAUUGCAAACAUGUUUGAUCAUAAUAGGCUGAAGCAUGGAUACUCGGAGAUACCAAAGAAACUUUUGGAACCUAAACUAGUGAACUCCGUUAGACCGAGUCACAGUUCAGUGGCACCGAUACUGCUAGGAUUUCACAAAGUCCUGAAUUCGGUCACACCGAUUUGCAAUUCUCGGUAAGACCAAGAAACACAUGUGCAAUGGCCUGAGCCAAAACGGUGGGACCAAUUUCUACAACUCGGUCAGUCCGAGAUGAGUUCGACGGAAACCUAACCCUAAAUUUUCAAUCCAAAACUAAUCUAUGGAGUGAUUUCGCUGGAUAGGAAGAUCUCAAUCGUGGCAAGAUACAUGGCAACACAAUGUGCUAGGAAUCGGAGUUGGGAAUAGCACAAAGAUUCAAAUCCAUACUCUAAUGCGGCGAUGGACUUGCUACGGCGGCAACGGCGGAGUAGAAUCCCGUUGACGGCGGCGGAGACCAGCGGCUGGAGGUCGCUGGCGACGAGGAGGAUGAUUCGAAGACCCGAGGAGGCAGAGCAGGCUGUGCGCGGGCGAAGAGCAGGUUGUAAACGCAUCGCCCGUAUGAGCGCAAAAAAUGAAUCGUGGAAAGAAAACUACUCACCCUCAUAAAAUCACGCAAUGCAUCCCUGUAAUCACGCACCAGAUAAGCACCAUCCCGACCCUCGCUCCCCGCCCCCCAGGGAGCAGGAGCCGCCGCACCCUCGGCCUCGUGUCGUGCCGCGCGUAGCAUGCCGUGCACAGUGCCGCCGCCGUGCCCCAGCCCACCGCCGCCCCUGUCUCGCCCCACGUGCGCCCAUGCUCCUGUUGAAGCCCCCUCCCGCCCUGUCACGCUUCCCGGGCCUGCCGUGCCACGCCUCGGUGCCUCCGUUCUGCACCCAGUGCCUCUUCUCUCUGCCGUGCUGAUACGUCUCCAACGUAUCUAUAAUUUAUGAAGCAUUCAUGCUAUUUUAUUAUCUAUUUUGAAUGAUUACGGGCUUUAUUAUACACUUUUAUAUUACUUUUGGGACUAACCUAUUAACCGGAGGCCCAGCCCAUAUUGUUGUCUUAUUGCCUGUUUCAGUAUUUCAAAGAAAAGGAAUAUCAAACGGAGUCCAAACGGAAUGAAACCUUCGGGAGCGUGAUUUUUAGGAAGAAUAUGAUCCAGGAGACUUGGAGUUCACGUCAGAAGAGCAUCGAGGAGGCCACGAGAUAGGGGGCACGCCCACCCCCUGGGCGCGCCCUACCCUCUCGUGGGCCCCUCAAGGCUCCCCUGACCGACUUCUUUCGCCUAUAUAAGCCUACGUACCCUAAAAACAUCGAAUAUCAAGAUAGAUCGGGAGUUCCGCCGCCGCAAGCCUCUGUAGCCACCAAAAACCUCCCGGGAGCCCGUUCCGGCACCCUGCCGGAGGGGGAACCCAUCACCGGUGGCCAUCUUCAUCCUCCCGGCACUCUCCAUGACGAGGAGGGAGUAGUUCACCCUCGGGGCUGAGGGUAUAUACCAGUAGCUAUGUGUUUGAUCUCUCUCUCUCUCGUGUUCUCUCUAUGGCACGAUCUUGAUGUAUCGCGAGCUUUGCUAUUAUAGUUGGAUCUUAUGAUGUUUCUCCCCCUCUACUCUCUUGUGAUGAAUUGAGUUUUCCCUUUGAAGUUAUCUUAUCGGAUUGAGUCUUUGAUUUGAGAACACUUGAUGUAUGUCUUGCCGUGUUUAUCUGUGGUGACAAUGGGAUAUCACGUGCCACUUGAUGUAUGUUUUGGUGACCAACUUGCGGGUUCCGCCCAUGAACCUAUGCAUAGGGGUUGGCACACGUUUUCUUGACUCUCUGGUAGAAACUUUGGGGCACUCUUUGAAGUACUUUGCGUUGGUUGGAUGAAUUUGAGAUUGUGUGACGCAUAUCGUAUAAUCAUGCCCACGGAUACUUGAGGUGACAAUGGAGUAUCUAGGUGACAUUAGGGUUUUGGUUGAUUUGUGUCUUAAGGUGUUAUUCUAGUAUGAACUCUUUGAUAGAUUGAUCCGAAAGAAUAGCUUUGAGGUGGUUUCAUACCCUACCAUAAUCUCUUCGUUUGUUCUCCGCUAUUAGUGGCUUUGGAGUGACUCUUUGUUGCAUGUUGAGGGAUUGUUAUAUGAUCUAUCUAUGUUAUUAUUGUUGAGAGAACUUGCACUAGUGAAUGUAUGAACCCUAUGCCUUGUUUCCUAUCAUUGCAAUACCGUUUACGCUCACUUUUAUCAUUAGUUACCUUGCUGUUUUUAUAAUUUCAGAUUACAAAUACCUUUGUCUACCAUCCAUAUUGCACUUGUAUCACCAUCUCUUCGCUGAACUAGUGUACCUAUACAAUUUACCAUUGUAUUGGGUGUGUUGGGGACACAAGAGACUCUUUGCUAUUUGGUUGCAGGGUUGUUUGAGCGAGACCAUCUUCAUCCUACGCCUCCCACGGAUUGAUAAACCUUAGGUCAUCUACUUGAGGGAAAUUUGUUACUGUCCUACAAACCUCUGCACUUGGAGGCCCAUCAACGUCUACAAGAAGAAGGUUGUGUAGUAGACAUCAAGAUCUUUUCUAGCGCCGUUGCCGGGGAGGUGAGUGCUUGAAGGUAUAUCUUUAGAUCUUGCAAUCGAAUCUUUUUGUUUCUUGUUUUAUCACUAGUUUAGUUUAUAAAAGAAAAUUGCAAAAAUGGAAUUGAGUUUGUCUCAUACGCUUCGUCUUUUUAAUAUCUUUUGUGAGAAUGACGGAAAGGAAAAUUGUGCUCAAGUGCUAGAAGAAGAAUGCAUUAAAAUAUUUGGUACUAGAUUGUAUGAUGAGCAUGAUUGCAAUGUUUUUAGUAUGAAUUCCUUGAAUAUCCAUGAUGCUAAUGAUAUGCAAGGCCACAAGCUUGGGGAAGCUAUGUUUGAAGAAAAUGAUAUUUUUUGUUCCCCAGGUUUUGAUGAGAAUAUUUAUUAUGAUGAAAGCAUGCCUCCUAUUUAUGAUGAUUAUAUUGAUGAAAGUGGGUUUGGAAGAGUGUCAACUUUAGGAAGUAGUGAUCCCACUAUUUUGGAGGAUGUUGAAUCUUAUUGUGAUGAACAUGAAAGUGGAUUUGGAAGAGUGUCAACUUUAUUUAGUGAUGAAUCCACUAUUUUGGAAGAGGUUCCAAUUGAUUAGGAGAACAAAGUUGCUAUCUAUGAUGAUUAUUGUGAUGACUUGUAAGCUAUUAGGAAUAAUGAUAACCAUUAAACUUGUCAUCAUGAUUUUAGUUUUCAAUUGGAUUAUGCCUCACAUGAUAAUUAUUUUGUUGAGUUUGCUCCCACUACUAUUCAUGAGAAGAAUUUUGCUUAUGUGGAGAGUAAUAAAAUUUCUAUGCUUGUAGAUCAUGAAAAGAAUGCUUUAGGUGCUGGUUAUAUUGUUGAAUUCAUUCAUGAUGCUACUUAAAAUUAUUAUGAGAGAGGAACGUAUGCUUGUAGGAAUUGCAAUAACGUCAAGUUUCCUCUCUAUGUGCUUAAAAUCUUGAAGCUAGGCUUAUUUUACCUUCCUAUGCUAGUUGAUUAUUGUUCCCAUAAGUUGUUUGCUCACAAAAUCCCUAUGCAUAGGAAGAGGGUUAUACUUAAAUAUGCUAGUCAUGUGCUUCAUGAUGCUCCCGUUACGUUUCAAUUCUUAUCUUUUAUGUGAGCAUCAUUGUCAUCAUCAUGCCUAGCUAGAAAGGCAUUAAAGAAAAGCGCUAGUUGGGAGACAACCCAAUAUUUAUCCUUACUGUUUUUGUGUGUACACAUGAUUAUGCUACUGUAGUAAUCAUGUUUUAUAGUUUUUGUUUCAAUAAAGUGCCAAGUAAGACCUUUAGGAUAGCUUACGGUGAUAGUUGUGUUGAUCCUGCUAAAAAUUAGAAACUUUUGCACCCAGUAAAUUAGUUUUGUUAAUUCACAGAAACGUGCUUAUGAUCUGAUUAUUUUUGCUCUGGAUUGUUACAUAAAUUUAUUAGGACUUCCUAAUUUGGUAGAAUUUUUGUAGUUCCAGAAGUAUACGUUUGAUACAGAUUACUACAGACUGUUCUGUUUUUCACAGAUUCUGUUUUCUAUGUGUUGAUUGCUUAUUUUGAUGAAUCUAUGAGUAGUAUCGGAGGGUAUGAACCAUAGAUAAGUUAGAGUACAGUAGAUAUUACACCAAUAUGAAUUUAUAAUGAGUUCAUUACAGUACCUAAGUGGUGGUUUUAUUUUCUUAUACUAACGGAGCUUACGAGUUUUCUGUUAAGUUUUGUGUUGUGGAGUUUUCAAGUUUUGGGUAAAGAUUCCAUGGACUAUGGAAUAAGGAGUGUCAAGAGCCUAAGCUUGGGGAUGCCCAAGGCACCCCAAGGCAAUAUUCAAGGACAACCAAGAGCCCAAGCUUGGGGAUGCCCCGGAAGGCAUCGCCUCUUUCGUCUUCGUUCAUCGGUAACUUUACUUGGAGCUAUAUUUUUAUUCGCCACAUGAUAUGUGUUUUGCUUGGAGCGUCAUUUUAUUUUGUUAGUAUUUUCUUGCUGUUAUAAUGUUUUGCAUCUUUAGUUUCAAUAAAAAUGUUAAGGAUAGCCUUUACCAUGCUUAUUUUGCUAGUAUACAUGUUGCUGUUUGAAAACAGAAAGUUUACCGCUGUUGCACAAAUUCCCUAGAAAAUUCAGAGCAUGAUAUAAUGUUGAAACUUUUUGCAUAAUGAGCUCUGAUAAAUAUUCUACAGUGGGAAUUUUAUUUCAUAAUUUUUGGAGUUAGGGAAGUAUGAUGAAUCUUGCAUUCUUUACAGACUAUACUGUUUUGGCAGAUUGCUGUUAUGGUUGCAUUGUUUGCAUAUGUUUGCUUGUUUAAUGAUUCUAUUUGAGGAUAAGAGUAUUAAAUAUGCAGAGGCAUUUAGUAUGAAAUGUUGAAUAAUAAUUUUAGUGAUUUGUUACAGUAGAAAAUGAUAAGUUUUUGCAUUGGUUUAUACUAACUUAUCUCACAAGUUCUUGUUGAGUUUGGUGUGGAUGAAGCUUUUGAUAAAAAGAGAAACCAUGAUAUGAGAGGAAUUAAGGAGACACAAAAGUUCAAGCUUGGGGAUGCCGAAGGCACCCCAAGAUAAUAUUUCAAGAAGUCUCAAGCAUCCAAGCUUGGGGAUGCCCCGGUAGGCAUCCCACCUUUCUUCUUCAACAAUUAUCGGUUAGUAUCGGUUGAGACUAAGUUUUUGAUUCUUCACAUGAGUUGUGCUAUCCUUGCAAUGCCAUUUUAUUUCUUUUGCUUGAUGUUUGAAUACAAUACCAAGAUCUGAAAUUCUUAAAUGUGAGAGAGUCUUUGCAUAGUUACACAAUUAUUUAGCUACUCAUUGAUCUUCACUUAUAUCUUUUUGGAGUAGUAUUUCAUUUACUCGUGUGCUUCACUUAUAUCCUAUGAGUAAAUGGUUGAAUGAGUUGAUUGUCAUAAAUCUGAAAUUAUAUAUGCCUCAUUUGCUUAUCCCAUGGGGUGUAUUGACUUCACAUCUAAGAGGUAGAGGUUGUAAAUUAAUUGAAGGUUAGCAAGCAUCGUAUUGGUCAUUUGAACAAUUUAUGAAAGAAUAUCGAAGGAAGAGAGAUUCCACAUAUAAAUACACUAUCCUAGACAUCUUUUAUAAUUGGGAGGACUCAUUAAGUAUGACAUGCUAAAGAGUUGAUUUUGGACAAGGAAGACAACGUAAUGGGUUAUGUUUUCGCACAUCUCAAUUAAAGUAUAUUGUUAUGGAUCAUUCAAACAUGUUGAGCUUGCCUUUCUCCCUCAUGCUAGCCAAAUUCCUUGCACCAAGUAGAGAUACUACUUGUGCUUCCAAAUAUCCUUAAACCCAGUUUUGCCAUGAGAAUCCACCAUACCUACCUAUGGAUUGAGUAAGAUCCUUCAAGUAAGUUGUCAUCGGUGCAAGCAAUAAAAAUUGCUCUCUAAAUAUGUAUGAUCUUUUGGUGUGAAGAAAAUAGCUUUAUAGGAUCUUGUUAUGGAAGCAACAAAAGCGACGGACUGCAUAAUAAAGGUCCAUAUACAAGUGGCAAUAUAAAAUGACGUUCAUUCGCAUUAAGAUUUUGUGCAUCCAACCCUAAAAGCGCAUGACAACCUCUGCUUCCCUCUGCGAAGGGGCGAUCUUUUACUUUAUGUCUUUUACUUUAUGCAAGAGUCAAGGUGAUCUUCACCUUUCCCUUUUUCAUUUUAUCCUUUGGCAAGCACCUCGUGUUGGGAAGAUCCUGAUAUAUAUAUCCAAUUGGAUAUAAGUUAGCAUGAACUAUUAUUGUUGACAUCACCCAAAGGUGAAUACGUUGGGAGGCAACACUAUAAGCCCCUAUCUUUCUCAGUGUCCGAUUGAAACUCCAUAACCAUUAGUAUUGCGUGAGUGUUAGCAAUUGUAGAAGACUAUAUGAUAGUUGAGUAUGUGGAGUUUGCUAUUCCUGAAAAUAAGAUGAAUUGCAAUUGUUCGAUGACUAAGAAUGAAGUUUUCUAGUUUUCAAGAAAGUUUAUGGUCUAUGCUUUGACAUGUGAAUUGCUUGUUAUUUUAUCAUGAGAAGUUUUAUGAGAUGAACUACUGUUAUGACAUAUUAUCAUGCUAGAAAAGGUGAUUGAAAUUAUCAUUUAUCAAACUUGUGCACCUUCUAGCAUUCACACUUCAUAAAUUCUUUCUUUUAUCAUUUACCUACUCGAGGACGAGUAGGAAUUAAGCUUGGGGAUGCUGAUACGUCUCCAACGUAUCUAUAAUUUAUGAAUCAUUCAUGCUAUUUUAUUAUUUGUUUUGAAUGAUUACAUGCUUUAUUAUACACUUUUAUAUUACUUUUGGGACUAAUCUAUUAACCGGAGGCCCAGCCCAUAUUGCUGUUUUAUUGCCUGUUUCAAUAUUUCGAAGAAAAGGAAUAUCAAACGGAGUCCAAACGGAAUGAAACCUUCGGGAGCGUGAUUUUUAGGAAGAAUAUGAUCCGGGAGACUUGGAGUUCACGUCAGAAGAGCAUCAAGGAGGCCACGAGAUAGGGGGGCGCGCCCACCCCCCCGGGCACGCCCUACCCUCUCGUGGGCCCCUCGAGGCUCCGCCGACCGACUUCUUUCGCCUAUAUAAGCCUACGUACCCUAAAAAAAUUGAAUAUCAAGAUAGAU
RNAcentral lists this long non-coding RNA (75002 nucleotides) under Triticum aestivum (bread wheat). RNAcentral describes it as "long non-coding RNA (TAES_LNC016301)". Lineage: Eukaryota; Viridiplantae; Streptophyta; Magnoliopsida; Poales; Poaceae. The record is from RNAcentral.